CCUUCUCCUAUAAUUCCAGUGAGCAGUGAUUGAGUGACGUUUACAGGAGAAGGCGCAAGGUCAACCUCGGGGGUGUUAGCACCACUUGCACUGUUGCCUUCGGGCUGAUAGUUGAGACGAACAUUACUGUACUUGGAUGCAGUUGAUGGGGUAUCAUCCUCCAUCAAAAAGCUACCUGUUGACAAUGUCGUUACAUCUUUAAAAUCAUAAUCUGUCAAAUAGCUCGGCUUCGACAUGACAGUGCCUAUGUCAAUAUCUCCAGAGAGCAUUGCCACCAUGCGUGACAUAGAUGGCCUCGUCAUCGGUGAUGCCUGCGUGCACAGGAGAGCUGCUCUUAUCACUCUAGUCGCUUCAGUUUCGUCAAACUCUGUCAAUCUUGAAUCCACCAGCCCCAGAAUUUGGUCGUUUUCAUGUAGAGUCCAUGCCUGAAAAACAUUAUGCCAUUGUCCAAGGAAAGGGUGAAUAAGUUUUUCACAACAAUGCCAAAAUAAAGCAGGGGAAUGCAAUUCCUACCCAUUCAAGAAGAUAAAUCUUUUCUGGAUCUAAGUUAUUGUCAGAGUUUGGUCUCCCGCUGAGGAUCUCCAAAGCAACGACUCCAAAACCAAACACAUCAGCCUUCUCUGUCAAAUGUCCACGCAUUGCAUAUUCUGGUGCCAAAUAGCCUCUGCAAUGCAAGAUAAUAAUAUGGUUGCACAAUGUUUCUUGAGAUCAUUAGUAGCAUUAUUAACAUGAUGUGUAUUAAAAUUUCAUGCAAGUAUAAAUGUGUGUGGCUAUAAUAUAUGUAACCUAUGGAAAAACAAUAAAGGAUGGCUUACAUUGUCCCUGCAACCCGGGUGCUGAUGUGGGUUUUCUCGUCAUCAUAAAGCUUUGCCAAUCCAAAAUCUGAUAUUUUUGGGGAGAGUUCUGCAUCGAGCAAAAUAUUACUGGCCUUAACAUCUCGAUGUACAAUCCUUGGCCUUGACUCCUCGUGAAGGUAAGCAAGUCCUCUUGCUGUUCCCAACAAUAUAUUGAAUCGAGUAGGCCAGUCAAGGUGCAAGUUACUUGUCCCUGAAAUAUUUGUGAACACAUCUAAUCAAAAACAUUUUUAAGUAAUUUUAGAGUGCUUGAAACUACAGAAAAUGUUGUUUCUAUGUAACCUAAAAGUAGAUAGGUUUGUACCAAAAAGUGCCUGAUCAAGGCUCUUGUUUUCAAGAUACUCAUAAACCAAAAUGCGCUGGCUGCCUUCGAUGCAGCAUCCAUACAAUUUCACUAGAUUCCGAUGUUGCACUGCAGAUAUGGUAGCAAUUUCAGAUACAAAUUGACUCUUUCCUUGGUGAGAUGCUACUGAAAGUUGCUUCACAGCCACUAUUCUCCCAUCAGAAAGUGCACCCUACAAUGUACACAUAAACACAAUUUAGUGACAUGAAAGGAAAGAAAAAAGGAGCUAUAUUUUCCUCUCGCUUGCUCGCUCUUUCUCCCUUUCUCUUGUCAUUACUUCAAGUACAUGAUAUUGAUGUAAUACGGAUUUCACCUUAUAAACAGGGCCAUAUCCUCCCUCUCCUAGCUUAUUUGAAGUAUUAAAAUCUUCAGUUGCGGUUCUCAAUUCAGCAUAACUGAAAGUAUAUGGUCGGGGGCCUAAUCCUAGAAUAUCUGCACAUUCAUGAAACAGUUGACAUAAGUUUUACUUUCGUGAAAGCAUUCUUACUUCUGUGUGUUAAUAUUAGGGCAGCAAAACCUGAAUUGGGUACCAAUAAUGAUAUGGUCGUUUACCUUCAUCGUCUUCUUUUUCUGAUUUUUUCCUCCUCAUAUAUAGAAUUGCAAAUAUUAAUAGCAAGCUCACAACUCCAAUAGGAACUGCAAUACCGACUAUCAACCCAGUCUUGCUCUUCUUUCCUGGAGUAGUUGGUGGAAGCCCGGCAACUGUUGGUGUAAAAUCUGAGUAAUAAAACAGAUGAAUUCUUCAGUGUCAAUUAAUAGCAGAAAAAUACAUUUAAACCAAUCAUAGGAAAUCUCUAUAAGUAACACAUAUUAUACCUGAAGCAGCAUGGACAGCUGCUAUUAGCGGGCCGUAAUCACCUUGUUCGGGUAUGCAACAAGUCCCUUUACCAGCCCAGAACAGAUGAAUUUCAAGAUAAUUCUCUGACACGUUAACAUUAAAUUUUCUCACAAUUGCUCGGUUAACACCACCUGCCGCCGACGAUAUGUCCAAGUCCUUCGUCAUGCGGGUACCCUAGCAACCAAAUGAACAGGUAGGUGAUAAUUCUAGUCUCCUUUAAAUCAUUGUAGCUUAAAACAUAGAAAACCUGUCCAAUGAGUGUUUACUUCAAAUAAGUCAGAAUUUUUAUUCUAUAAGCAGCCUUACCUGAAUAUAGAUAUCAAAUACACGCCGUCCUAGACUUUGCCAUUUUUGCGAAGUGCGACUUUCAUAAACCGUCUCUGCAAAGUGCAAUGUUACAGUGUAAGGCCCAUUCUCAAGGCUCAGGCCAUAGUAUCUCAGUGAUCCUGGGGACACUCUUGAAGUCUGGAAAAGCUCCGGGGUCACAUCCGUUCCGGUGACUUGUGCAAGGGUAUUUUCCAGAAACGACGGGUCCUUUCUGUCAGAAAACAAACCGGCAUUGCUGACAGCCCAUUUCUCUGUACUAGUUACAUUGAAUGUUGCUGCGCCAAGAGCUGAGUCUUCAGUCUCAUACAAUAUGCCAUCACUUCCCGUCAUUUGUUUUCCACCACAGUUGAUUGAGAAGUUUGCAUCUGUAAAGUUUCAUGUAAUACCAGAAGCCAGCCAUGAUUAGCGAUGAAACGUCAAAUUGAAGACUCAUGCUAAUGUUCAUCAGUCACAUAUUUCUAACCAGUUAUGCGUAUUACUGAACUGAUGAAAACAUGCUUGCAAUCUAUAUCCAUAUGUAUACAUAACUAGAGAAGCAAUGCCUUUUCCUCUAACAUGACGAUGCGUUAAAAUAGUAAAUGAUUGAGAAGUUUGCAUCUGUAAGUUUCAUGUAUUACCAGAAUCUACCCAUGAUUAGCGAUGAAACUUCAAAUUGAAGACUCAUACUAAUGUUUUUCAGUCACAUAUUUCUGACCAGUUAUGCUUAUUUCUGAACUUAUGAAAACAUGCUGGCAAUCUAUAUCCAUAUGUAUACAUAACUAGAGAAGCAAUGCCUUCUCUAACAUGACGUUGAGUUAAAACAGUAAAUGUUGGGUGACAUAAAAGCAGAUUACAUCGUGGGGCAUUUCGAUUGCAUGGAAAAUUUCUCUGGAGGCAAUCCAAUCCAGGAAGACUGCAAACACAGAACAAUUAUUAGUUAUCCAAAUAGAAACAUGUAGUGGAAGAGUAGUGAUAGUAUUGCUUGUCUAAAAACAAGUAAGAGAAACUUCAACUCACGUUAUGUUUGAACUGUCAAAUGUGAAGUUGUUGACCACUAAGUUCCUGCAUAAAAUCAUUAAUCAAUCACCAUAUGAAGAAAUAUAUCUUUAUCAAAUGAAAAUUCCAUGUACAAGAUCAAAAAUUAGUAGGCAAGUAGCACUGUGAAAACGAAUCUCAACGAUAAUUUUUUGUCCGAACAUAUUCUGUUGAUUUAAACUGUAAAAUGAAGGUGAAAGAUAAAAGGACACGUACAGUUGCGAUAUUGUGGUCACCCACUGGGGAAAGCUUCCUGAUAAAAAAUUGUAAGACAAAUCUCUGCAAAUAACAAAAUAGAAUCAGAAGGCACAAAAUGCAUGAAAGUUAUUAAGAACUUGUGUAAGAUAGGAUUAGAAUGCUUACAAUUAUACACAAACACACACAUGCACCGUGCAUUCUAUAUGACUACUUUAAGAAAUGAGGACUUACAUAGUCUCAAGUUGAUUGCUCUUUUGGCUUGGAAGAGGUCCGGACAGACUAUUGUUUCCAAGAAACCUGGCCAUUUCGAUUAUAGCAGAAGGCACCCAGAAAAGAAAAAGAGAUGAACAAACAAAAGGUCAGAUGUGCACAAAAUCUAGAAGGAUUAGUCCAGAUAUUCAAUCAAAGUAGGGAAUGUUAAAGAUUUGAUAACUUAUGUAUGAUAAGGCAAGAAAAAGAUAAUAAUAAAGAUGGGGAUUACAAGGAUGUAAGAGAACUCAAGUUGAACAAAGAACUUGGGAGUUGGCCUGUCAAAUUGUUGAAACUCAGAUCCCUGCACACCAACGAUAAGUUGAGAGGAGGAAUCAGAAUGCAAGAAAACUAAUUGGUCUCGUUGGGACUCAAGCUUAUAUUUGCUGGUACGUACAGUGUCUGUAGACUUUGAUAUUCUCCAAUAUCAGAUGGGAUGGUACCAGUGAUUAAUGCGUUUCGCAGUUUUCUAUACUCCAAAAACAUAAAAUUUGAUAAAAGUAGAUGGAGUAAGAUAUCACAUUUCAAAAGGAAAAAGAAGUUAGAUGAAAGUAUCUUGAUCGAUGAGAAUCUUCACUUACAAUUCAGUCAAGCUUUUCAGAUUUUUUAUGAAAUCAAGAGAGGAGCUCCCAUUGUAUAUAUCACUGAUUCGCCUACAUCAUUAUAUGCAAAAUAAACUGAAAUCCUGUCUUCGGAGAAAGAGAGAGAAUUACAAUUUAUGAAACAUUUGUACUUACAGAGAGGUCAAUGAGGUCAGCUGAGAAAAGCUGGUUGGUAUUGGGCCUUCGAAAGAGUUCCCUUGAAAUCGCCUACAGAAACAUAUAAGAAGCUUGUCAACUAAGUAUCCAUCUCAGGUCUGCUUUCAUAAACUGCAUAAGAUCAAAAUUUUAUGUGGCUUACAAAGAAGUGAGUUGUGUCCAAUUCCCUAUGAAAUCAGGUGUCUUUCCUGAGAAAAGACUGUCCGAUGCCCAACUAAAAUUCAAAAAGUUGACUUAUAAUAAGCUCAUCCAAGAAAAGCAAUAUCAAAGUACUAGAUAAACGAACAAAUCUAAAAUACGAUUUAAGAGCCGUUCUUACAGGGUUUGCAUGUUGGUGAGCUUGGCGAAUGUUGAAGGAAUUUCACCACUGAGUCCACAGCUGUCCAUGUAACUGUGAAAAUCAUAAGGCAACUGAUUUGUUAGGAAUGUCGGUACUACAAGAUAGAGAAUGCACAAGGUAAAGUAGAAAAUGGACGCCAAGAAUUUAUGUGGUUCGGCAAUUUAUGCCUACGUCCACCAAACAAGGAAUCUUCACUAUAUGAAAAAAGAUGAAUACAACAAGAGUAGUCUUACCAAGCCAAAGACAAGGCUUGAUGGAUACAAGAAAGUAUAACACACACUUUCUAUCACUCUAAACUUCACUCACACAAUGUGUAGUGGAACACUCUCACUCUCACUCUUGGAGUGGAACUCUAGCUUUGGACUUGAUCCUUUGCUACUCACUCUUUCUUGAUUUGUUGUUUCACUACAACAUCACACCCAUAUUUAUAGGUGAGGGUUUGGCAUUCUACUAGUUUCUAGUGUAUUCUUCAAACCUCUAGCAUAGAAAGAUCUAGACUAGCCACAAAAGUGUGGCUUCUAGAUCUUUCCAUUUGCAACCAAGGAAGCUAGUACUCUCUAGCUUCUUCCAUCAACUUAAUAACAUGCUAGAAUUGUCUAGCAUGCUCCAGCCAUCUCUCUUGCUUACUAGAAUAAUCUAGAACAUUGAUCAUGGGCUGGACCAUAUACCAACAAUCUCCCCCUCCAGUCCAUGAGGAAGGAAUUCCGAUCAUGACUGCAAGUUACCUGGAGUCCAUCCCAGCAGCCUUAAUGCAGAAUUCCAACUUUGAUUUUGUGACCACCUUUGUCAACAUGUCUGAAGAAUUAUUAUCGGUAUGAAUCUUCUUCAGCUGUAGCAUCUUGUUCUCGAUAGCAUCUCUAAUCCAGUGAUAACGAAUAUCAAUGUGCUUGGUGCGUGAAUGGUAUGCAGUGUUUUUGCUCAAAUCCAGAGCACUCUGACUAUCACAAUAAACGCCAUAAUCACUUUGUUUCAAACCCAACUCUUGGAGAAACCGCUUCAGCCACAACAACUCCUUGCAUGCUUCUGUAGCGGCUAUGUAUUCAGCCUCGGUUGUAGACAAAGCAAUGCACUUUUGUAACUUGGAUUGCCAAGACACGACUCCCCCUGCAAAAGUAAACAAGUACCCAGACGUAGAUUUUCUACCAUCCAGGUCACCUCCCAUGUCAGCAUUUGUAAAUCCUUCCAAGAUUGGUUUGGAACCGCCAAAGCACAAGCACAUCUUAAAAGUCCCCUUCAAAUAUCUGAGAAUCCACUUAACAGCUUCCCAGUGGUCCUUCCCUGGAUUAGAGAGAAACCUGCUCACCACACCUACUGCAUGAGCAAUAUCUGGCCGUGUGCACACCAUUGCAUACAUGAUACUUCCUACUGCUGAAGAGUAGGGAACAACUGCCAUUUUCUCAUUUUCUUCAUAUGUUUUUGGACACGACUCUUUGCUCAACUUGAUAUGAUUGGCUAAAGGUGAGCUUACCGAUUUGGCUGUUUUCAUGUUGAACCUUUCAAGCACCCGUUCAACAUACUUUUCUUGUGACAGCCACAACUUCUUGGAUUUUCUGUCACGAAUUAUCUCCAUGCCCAAAAUCUGCUUGGCUGGCCCUAAGUCCUUCAUGUCAAAGGACUUAGAUAACUCUUUUCUUUGAGCUUUUUAAUCAUAAAAGCAUCUUGACCGACAAUCAACAUGUCAUCAACAUAAAGCAACAAAAUGAUGAAUUUACCUCCAGAAAAUUGUUUGAUAUAGACACAAGAGUCAGCAUGAGUUCUCUUGUACCCAUUACUCACCCAUGAAUGAGUUGAACUUCUUAUUCCACUGUCUCGGAGCCUGCUUAAGACCAUAUAAACUUUUCUUGAGCUUGCACACCAAAUUUUCUUUACCUUUGACUUCAAAGCCUUUGGGUUGCUCCAUGUAUAUCUCCUCUUCUAAAUUGCCGUGGAGAAAUGCAGUUUUAACAUCUAACUGCUCGAGCUCAAGAUCUAUGCUUGCUGCCAUACCAAGGAUAACUCGAAUGGAAGUCAUCUUCACCACCGGUGAGAAAAUCUCAUCAAAGUCAACUCCUUUCUUUUGACCAAAACCUUUGACAACCAAACGAGCCUUGUACCUUGUCAUGUUGUCGUCUCUUUUCAAUUUGAACACCCACUUGUUUUUCAAUGCUUUCCUGCCCUUUGGAAGCUCCACCAGCUCAUAGGUAUCAUUCUUUGAUAAGGAAUCCAUCUCCGACUCCAUUGCCUUCAUCCAUUUGUCACUGUCGUUAUGAGCUCUGGCCUCCUCAUAUGUUUCGGGCUCUCCAUAAUUAGUCAACAUGAUAUACUCUGAUGAAGAAUACUUGGUAGACGGUCUUCGACUUCUGAUGGAUCUUCUGACCUGAUCUUCAUUCUCUUGUAGGGCUGGAGGCUCCCCCUGAUUGGGUUCUCCUUGAAUCUGCUCUUCUUGACUAGGCUCCCCCUGAUCAGCAAUCUCAUGGUCUGGCACAUCUUGAUCAGGCUCCUCUUGAUUAGCAUUAUCUGAUUCUGCAGGCACUUCAUUGGCAGUUGCUUCAGGGAUGUCAUCGUGACUUUCUUCAUCUGAAGCUAAUGGAUCAACUCCUCUGACUGCGCCAUCUGGUUGUGCCUCUUUAUCCGAAUCCCCAAUUGUUUGUUCUUCAUAAAAGACCACGUCUCUACUUCGGAUAAACUUCUUCUGGUAUGGGUCCCAUAAUCUGUAACCAAAAUCUUCACCGCCAUAACCAAGAAAGAUGCACGGUGUAGCUUUGUAGUCUAACUUCGAUCUCUGCUCUUUGGGCACAUGCACAAAAGCUUUGCAGCCAAACACCUUCAGAUGAGAGUAAGACACAUCAUUACCAGUCCAUACUCUCUCUGGAACAUCAAGACCUAAUGGUACUGAUGGAGAUCGGUUGAUCAAAUAGCAGGCUGUCCUUACAGCUUCACCCCAGAACUGCUUAGAUAACUUUGCAGUCCUCAACAUACACCUGACUUUCUCCAUGAUGGUUCGGUUCAUUCUUUUCAGCAACACCGUUAUGUUGUGGAGUUCCAGGAACUGUCUUCUCAUGACGUAUGCCAUGUUUUACACAAUACUCUCUAAACUGGUGAGAUGUGUACUCGCCGCCGUUGUCGCUACGAAGGCACUUGAGAGGUUUCCCAGUUUCCCUCUCCACCAUGGCAUGGAACUCCUGGAAUGUCUGAAACACCUGGUCUUUGGAUUUCAACAAAUACACCCACACCCUUCGUGAAGCAUCAUCAAUAUAAGUAACAAAAUAUUUAUUUCUUCCAAGUGACUCGACUUCCAUGGGACCACACACAUCUGAAUAAACAAGAUCUAACAAGUUUCCUUUCUUUGUAGAUGGAACAGAAAAAACUAACUCUUCUUUUGUUUUCCGAAUAAACAAUGCUCACAAGAGUUUAACGACGUACCUUCGGUAAAGGGAAUGUGAGACUUAUUUGCCAAAACUUGUAGGCCUUUCUCGCUUAUGUGGCCUAGCCUCUUUAUGCCAUAAGUCUAGAGAUGAGUCCUCCACAGCAUUCAACUCACCUUUCAAAACCUUGGCAUUUGACCGGUACAACGUACAACAAAGUCGUGCUCUUGCUACCACCAUUAAGCCUUUAGUAAGCUUCAAUUUUCCUUCGCCAAUAUGGUGAUAAUAUCCUUGUCGAUCAAGGGUACCGAUGGAUAUCAGAUUGAGACGUAUAUCAGGAAUAUGUCUCACAUCUUUCAACAUCAAUUGGCAGCCGAGAUUAGUUCUUAGACAUAUAUCACCAAUUCCAAGAAUUUUGGAAUAGCUUUCAUUCCCCAUCUUCACUAUGCCAAAGUCACCUUCUUUGUAUGUACUGAAGAACUCCCGUUUGGACGUAGCAUGGAAGGAAGCUCCAUUGUCAAAGAUCCAUUCAAUGUCUCUGUCAGAGUUGCCCAUAUGCAGACAUUCACCAACAGACAAUAUUUCUGGUACAUCACCACAUAUGACAGCAGUGGUAUUGCCAGUAUCAUCUUUCUUCUGAUUGUUUCCUUCCCUUUGCUCUCUCUUCCAAACUCGACAAUUUUUCUUCAUAUGGCCUUCUUUGCCACAGUGGUGGCAUGCACCCCUGAACUUUGACUUGGAUCGGCUAGGACUCCUGCCAUGACCUCUAGGCCCUCUACUUUUGCUUCUUCCGCGGUUCUCUGUGACAAAUACUUGGCUGCUAUCUGUGCCAGAAGUCUUUCUCCUUGUUUCUUCAUUGAGCAUGCUAUUUUUAACAUUAUCAAGAGUAAGAAACACCAUUAGAAGCAGAGUUACUUAUACUCACCACAAAGGUCUCCCAACUGUCUGGCAAGGAUCCAAGUAACAAGAGCGCUUGUAGCUCGUCCUCGAUCGUCAUUUUCAUAUAGUAGCCAACUGGUUGAUGAUAUUCUGGAAAUUGUUCAAGUGUUCUGCUACACUUAAACCAUCCUUGUACUUCACAUUGAUGAGCUCUUUGAUCAAGAAGGCUUUCUUGGCUGGGGUCUUCUUCUCGAACAAGGACUCAAGCUUCGUCCAAAACUCGCGAGCAUUGGUUUCAUUAGACACAUGGUGAAAAACACUAUCAUCCACCCAUUGUCUAAUUGUGCCAAUAGCCUUGCGAUUCAUCUUCUUCCACUCGGCAUCGGACAUGCUCUCGGGCUUAGCGGCAUCUCCUUCAAUUGGCUCAUGCAAAUCCUUGCAAUAGAGAAUGUCCUCCAUCCUUGGCUUCCAUGUUACCCAAUUGGAGUUGGUGAGUUUGAUCAUAGUGCCACUUCCUUCCAUCUCGUAGUACGAGCCAACCGGGCUCUGAUACCACUUGUUAGGAAUGUCGGUACUACAAGAUAGAGAAUGCACAAGGUAAAGUAGAAAAUGGACGCCAAGAAUUUAUGUGGUUCGGCAAUUUAUGCCUACGUCCACCAAACAAGGAAUCUUCACUAUAUGAAAAAAGAUGAAUACAACAAGAGUAGUCUUACCAAGCCAAAGACAAGGCUUGAUGGAUACAAGAAAGUAUAACACACACUUUCUAUCACUCUAAACUUCACUCACACAAUGUGUAGUGGAACACUCUCACUCUCACUCUUGGAGUGGAACUCUAGCUUUGGACUUAAUCCUUUGCUACUCACUCUUUCUUGAUUUGUUGUUUCACUACAACAUCACACCCAUAUUUAUAGGUGAGGGUUUGGCAUUCUACUAGUUUCUAGUGUAUUCUUCAAACCUCUAGCAUAGAAAGAUCUAGACUAGCCACAAAAGUGUGGCUUCUAGAUCUUUCCAUUUGCAACCAAGGAAGCUAGUACUCUCUAGCUUCUUCCAUCAACUUAAUAACAUGCUAGAAUUGUCUAGCAUGCUCCAGCCAUCUCUCUUGCUUACUAGAAUAAUCUAGAACAUUGAUCAUGGGCUGGACCAUAUACCAACAUGAUUAAUACCCAUUUCAUACGAUAAAGUGCAAUUUUUGCUCAUCCGUAACGAAUUAACAUGUAAUUCAAAUUUGAUGAUUUAACGAAGCACUUACAUUUGCUCGAGCUUGACUAAAUUACCAAGUUCUGGAGGGAGUGUUCCGGAGAAAUUAUUUGAUCCGAUGCCCCUGCAAGUCAUGUUGAAUAGGCAAACACUUACUUGAAAGCAAUUAUUGAAGAGUGAUAGAAGGUUCUGUAUCUAAUGUUUACGACACAAAAUUUUAUUGUAUGCUCUCUCAUUUUUAUGGCUUACAGCAGAGUUAGCUCCGUAAGGUUUCCAAGCUCCUUGGGGAUGGGUCCAGAGAAUGAAUUGAUGCCAACUGACCUGAAUGGAGAUAUCAGUUAGUGAAAGAUAAGCAUCAUUAAACUUAAUUACAUACAUAACAGGAAACUAGUACUGCAUUAUUCAAUAAAAGCAUAAUGAUUUUUUGUAGAUUACGGCACAAAAAGUAGCGAAAAGGUGUAAAGAACAUAACUGUAGAUUAUGAUAUUCAAAAUGAAGUACAAAUUGCUACGGGUCUCAUCAGAAGUAUGAGUACUUAAAGAAAUGUUCUCUCACUACUUACAAUUCAGUCAAUGCAGACAUAUUGCCAAUGAAUGCUGGUAGGGGACCGGUGAAAUAAUUCUGAUCGAUUUUCCUACAAAAAUUGAAAGGAAGUAUAAUUGUUAACUCUUAAUCUUAUAACAUCACCAUAUUUUUGUUGAAAUCUCACAUCAGCUAGAGAAAUAAAGAAAGAAGAGUUUAAAUAUCCAAAUCUCAUUCCAACUAAUACCGAGACCUUUUGGAAUAAACCUCACACUUAACGGAUUGUGCAAGUGGUACCAAGUUAGGGACAAUAUCUGUGUUGUUGGAAGUGAGCCUUUUGCUCGUCUCUCCGAUAAUUCUACAAUUUUUGAUAUCCAAUAUAUGAUUUUGAUGAACCAAAAACAGAGAAGGGAGUUGGAAAAAAUUCAUACAAAGAUGUGAGAUAUCUCAGAGCCACAAAUUCUUCUGGAAACACCCCUCGUUUGUUCAGAGCAUACACUCUCCUGGAAAGCAAAAAGAUUGAACAUUUAGAACUACAUAAAAUGGAGCGACACAGUCAAAUUAUGACGUUAAAAUAUAUAGGUAGCAAGUGAAAAAUCAGCAGUGGCAUGGAAAUCUUGUUCAUAAAGAGUAGUUUAACAUACAGUUUGGUGAUGUGGCAUGUAGCAUUGUUGUCGUAAGAACAGUCGCAAACGAUGGCUGGGUUGUUACUGGGGUCCCCAAAGUCGGUGCCGUUGAUGGCAGAUCCACUGCAGGGUUCUCCACUGAUAUUCCACAGCCCCGGCACUGCUUGUGUGUCCCAUUGUUCAAAUAUUGAGUUCAACGCCCUCACUGCACUCUCAGUUAAUUCAGUCCUUGUGUGUAUUAGAUUAUAUCACACCAUAAUUUGAUUUGUGUUACCACUUACCAGACUAUCUCGAACCAAACGAAAGAUCAAAUUGAUUAUUACAAAGGAAAAUUACCCUUAAUUUUUGGAUGUUUUGUAUAUGGGAUGAAAAAGGGCCUUACAAUAAUUUCUUCGAAACUUCGUUUCAUAUAGUCGAAAAACACUUAAAAUGUCAAUUUGUUGAGGGAAAAAAAAGCCCAGUUCCUGGUCAGAAACACUUAAAUGUGGCAAAGUGUGUGUGUAGGGAGAGAGAGAGAGAGAGAGAGAGAGAACCUUCAGAUGGAUCGGUGGUAGCAUUUUGAGCAAAUGACAGCUGAAACCAGAAGUAGCUGAGGAAGUAGAGUAAUAGUAUCCUCAUCAUCAACUUCAUCUUCAUAUUGUACAUGUGCAGAACUUGCUCUCCUCGACGGCGUGAAUUUAAACGACCAACACUUACAUUCCGACUGGCUGAAUCAUGCACCGCAUGUAAGUAGAAGAAGACCAUUAGAUUUUAGUCAUAUAUUGACAACAUAUACAUAUAUAAUAUAUUUUGUCCAAGUUGCAUGAUCAAAUGGCGGCCACUUUAAUAAUUUCCCACCUGGAGUAGGCCAAGACUUUGAUCAUAUUAGUUGAAUUGUAUACUGUAAUAUUACACAUUGAGCUGCUUUAGUAUUGAAAUAUUUAUGUACAAUUUUAGAUUGUUAAUAUUUUUGUGGUUGAAAAAUCAAGGAAUUGACUUAUGGAUUUACAUUCUUGCUCAGUUGGUAAUUAUGGAGAGGGAUUUUUCUGGAUAGCGAAAGAACAAAGGAUUAAUUCUUUGUUAGUUGGUGAUUUUGAUAUGACAUCAACCGAGGAUGUCAUUGUGACAAUUCUUAAGCUAAUCACAUUAUUAUGUUUGACAAAACACAUGACACACUAUUUGAUUAGUUUUUUAUUUCUUUCUAAAAAGAUAGGCAACUAAUGACAAACCACGAUUAUUCACCUUUUUUGGGCUAGAAAUAGGCUAAUUAGAAAUUGUACACACAUUACAAAGUAUCGAACUCAGGAUUUUCACAAUUAGCUUAAAAUAUUGCUAAAAUUGCAUGUAUGUUGUUAGUUUGUCCAGUAAAAGAAUAAUAUUUCAUUCAUAAUUUUACGUAUAAAUAAAACGAUAAAAUGAAUUUUUGAUAAGUGGACAUGGAUUUUUUCAAAGAAAAACAAAGGUGGGAUUUUCAAAAAAAAAAGAAAAGAAAAAUCUCUGGUGGAAUUUUCAAAAGUUGUGGCUGAAUUGAAAAUUCAAUCGGGAUGAAAAUAUCUGCAAGUUGAGUUGAAUGGAAAAGGAUAUUUGCCGGAUCAUUUUCUUGAAAAUGCGGAAGAUCUUGUGAUUGUAUCUGUUUAUCGUACCUCGUGCGAUAAGUUUUUGUUAAAUAUUAUUUAUAUUUAAUUUUAAAUUUUAAAUUUUAAAUAAUUUCUGACCGCAUAAUGUACGAUUAACAGACAUGAUCGUAAUAUCUUUCGGAUCCCCAGAAGAAGAAUCCGGGAUCCUUUUCCGAAUUGAAUGAUGCAGCCAGAAAAGUCAAAAGAGGAUAUGUCUGGAUGGAUUAGAAUCAUCUCCGGAACAAUUACAUCCGUCCUAAUCCGUUUUUGAUUGAUGACAGAAAGUCAAACUGCCACGUAUGAACCCAUCACCAUCCCACCCACCUUGGCUUAAUUAUUCUGAUGCCUUGUUCUUAAAACAAAAGGAGGUAGGCGAUGAAUUGCUGUACUGACGUUAUAAUGGAAGGGGUGUGCUAUCCACACACUCAUUUUUAUUUCUCACACACCUCUUGUUAAUUUUAUUUCUGUUAAUCUUCUUUAUUUCAUCUGAUCCGACGGCCGAAAAUUAAAAGAGAUGUGAGGAGUAAAAAAGGGUGUAUGGAUAUUACACCCUUAAUGGAAUCGGUAUUUAAUUAAUCAUUUUAUUGGCAUUAAUUAUGUACUUAAUUAAAAGUAUGUAUAACUUAGUUGAUGCAAUGAACUAUCAUAGGAUUAUACUUUUAGUCCAAAAAGACCGCUCAAACCGAUAGGACUAUACGCUUUAAUGAGAGUUGGAAGAGAACAUCUAACGUAUGUAGUAUUAUCCUAAUUUUAUAAAGAAAUUAUUUCUAGGACUUAAACUUGUGAUUUUUUUGGAUCACAAAUGAACAACAUUUCCAUUACGCCAAAAUUCACCUUCAAUUGUAGCUUUAAUCUAUAAACAAAAUAUGGAACACUGGUUAUUGACGCUAAUUCCUUGAGGAUUCUGAUUAAAAGGACCAUAUGGGCAAUUCACUAAUUUACUGUUCUUAAAGGUACUCCUCGGAUUUUGGCCAAAAAUUCUUAUAGAGUUAGCGUGAAGGACUAAUGUUUCACAUUUAUCGAACUCAUAAACUACUUUUAAUAGAUCCUUAAUUUGUAGACUAAAAUUACAAUUUAGUCAUAAUUCACCAACCAAUACUGUGAUUUUCUCCUUUAUAAUGUUUGGGGAAAAUACUGUUCAUAUCAAUUAUCAAAGACUCAUACUCAUCCUCGCAAUCGUAUCAAUAAGUAAAGGGUAAUGCUAUUUUGCUAUUUAUUUUCUUUAAUUCAUUUUAUCCGAAGAUAAGAAAUUAAGAAAAAUGUAUAAAAAGUAAAAAUAAGUAUGUGAAUAGCAUCAUCUUAAAUUUAUCUCUCUUAGCAUAAAAUAAAAGAAAAACUAAUGAAAAGAACUUGAAAACUUUGAGUUUUAAUCAAAAUGACAAAAAGGCAAAAAGAUGUUGUAAGUGAAUAGUACUAGAAGUGACUUUUUUAGAGUAAAAAUGUCAUUUUUUGUUAAAGUAAACAGUACUAAAAGUGUUUUGUUAAAACAUAGUAAAAUAAAACUUAUAGUUUUUAUUAACCAAUUAGACAAAUUGGGUAGGAAAAGGAAGGAAUACACAUAUUCUGCCAAGUUACAUUGGUGUAAAAACACGUAGCUUGCACAUGCAGUACGAUCAAGUUGCGGCCCAAGUUGAUGAGUUUUCCAUAAAGUUAAAUGAGUUUGAUCAUGGAUAAUAUAUUAAAUAUAUAAAGAAUUAUUAAAUAUUGCCAAACAACAGCAGUGUUUUAAAUUUUUUUAAACUAAGCAAACAGACAGGGAAAUGUAAAAAUUAAGUUCCUAUAUUUAUUUUUCCUACUUUAUUAAUUAAAAUUUUAUUAAUUUUUAAUUUUUAAUCAAAAUUCUUAAAUUUUAAUAAAUGUUAUUAAUUAUUUUAAACGUUACAUUUGGUAUAUUUGUGCCCAUGCUAAUUAUAUGUAUUUAUUUUAUGUUUUAAAAUAUAUCAAGAGUUAUUUUUCAAAAUAUGUUAAUAAUUAUGUGGGUACAUUAUUUUUUGCUAUAAUUUUUGUGAAGAACAAUAUUACUCUAAAAAAAAAUUUUAAGUAUAUUUUAAAAAUAUUAUUUAAAUUUGUUUAAAUUUCAUAAUUUGUGGAACAUUAAAUACAUAAAGACAUGAAUUAAAUCUCUUAAACGAUGCUAAGAUUUCGAUCAAAUUAUUUAAACAAAUAAAAUUUUAGCCUAACAAUUAGGUUGAUUAGGGACCACAGCCAAAAUGACGAUAGGAAAAUAUACUGCUUUUGAAUGCAUCUGUUGGCUACAGUUGAGGAUGAACUUUUAACAUUUCGAAAGAGAAAGAUUAGCGGUUGAUCUCCUGUAUUUUAUAUGUGCAUAUCAUAUGAAGAGAGAGAGAAAGAGAGAGAGAGAGAGAGAGAUAUACCCGUCCUGCUGUUGAAGCAGAAGAUGGAGGAGCUGAAGCAGAAGCAAGCAGCAAACUGGUGGGAAGAUAUCAGAGAUGGUGGCUUCUUCGCCCACUAGCUCUGAAAAUUCAUCCCCUCUCCUCUCUCUUUAUCCUAGUAUGAGUGUGUAUGAGAAUGAAAAGGACAAUUCCCACUUACAUAAACCAAAAUAUAUACGGACAAGGAUUGUCUGCUCUCUACUUCCGGUGCUUUCUUCGUAUCUUCCUGUUUUGUGUGAUCACGGUUAAAUCACGUCAAUAUUUUAUAUUUUUUUUAUAAAUAUAAUAAAACAAAAAUGAAUAGUAAUAUAAAAUAUUGACGUGUCUUAACUAUGACCACACAAAUAAAAGAGCACGAAGAAAACACCGGAAAUAGAGAACAGACAAUCCUUGUCCAAUGUAUAUGGCCUCAUGGGAGUAGUAUAUAUAAUUAUAUAUAGUGGCAUGAUUAGUCUUUAGCCAAUGUCAGUCUCUGUAUUCUUCAAACCAGCAAUUUCUUUAUUCAACAACUAGAAUAAUUAAAAUGUAGAAACACGAAAUGUAAUAUGAUAUUUAUGCAUUUUAUUAUUGGUUUGAUCUCUAUGAAUUCUCUUUUUCCUAACAAUUAACAACUUAAUUCAAUAAUGUUAUUAUUUAUUAAAAAGGAAAAAAAAAUGAAGUAAUUAACUUUUUUUUUUCAUAUUUUUAACUAGAUGUAAAAGCUAUUAAACCUUAGAACCUAAACAAGUUCCUGCCCUCUAAUCCAAAUUUUCCUUCACUUUGUUGAGAUUCUGCUAAUUUCAUUUAGCCUUUCAUGUUUCUCUUUAAAAAAAAAAUCGUAACUUUGCACCUUUAACUCAAUUUUCCUUCAUUUCGUCGAGAUUCUACUAAUUCGUAAAAAAUGAACGGAAUACGUGACAUGGUAUACAUUUUGUUUAUGUGCAUCCGUUAAAGCUAAACAUCUUAUGGUUCAUUAACUUUAAUCAAAUUUGAGCAAUAAUCCAUUAACUAAAAAUUCAUUAUCAUUAGUCCCGCAACUCAUCAAAACGUAUAGUUAUGAUCAUUUUCGUUAACUUCGUGAGAAUUUUGUCAAAAUGAGUUAUGUUGGAAGGAUCAUUGUUACAAUUGAGAUCCCUCAACUCAUCAAAACUUCUAGCUAUGAUUUUUUCGUCAACUUCGUUAGAAUUUUGUUAAAAUGAGUUAUGUUUGAAUGAUCAUUGCUACAAUUGGGUUAAAGUUGAGGGAUUAUUGUUCCAAUUGAGUUAAAGUUAAGGGAUCAUUUUUCCAGUUAGAUUAAAGUUGAGGGAUCAUUUUUCCAGUUAGAUUAAAGUUGAGGGGCCAAGGGUAAUAAAUUUUUAGUUGAGGGAACAUAGCUGUACGUUUUGAUGAGUUAAAAGAUUAAUGAUAAUAAAUUUUUAAUUUAAGGACCAUUAUUCUAAUUGAAUUAAAGUUAAAAAAUAUUACUACAACUUAGACACAUAAAAAAAAAUCAUAUUAUAAAAUAACAUAUAUAAAGUUUCGCUUCGUAUUUUGAGCACAUUGAAAUCUCUAUAGCGAAAGAGUGAGUUGCUAGCUAUUGAAAUUCCCUAAGGUAUUGGUAAUUGUGUUUAAUUAAAAGAUAAAAAAAAAUUAAAUAAUUUUAUUGUCAAUUGAAUGAGUUGGUAUGCCAAACUUCAAUUUUGACCUCUCUUUGCUGUUUCAUUUAUUGGUCAAAACACCCCUCUUCCACAUCUCAUGCCUAUCUUCGGUCUCACUCGCGAGCAUAUCUGCAGUACUGACUCAGGGAAAGGACGCAGCUGACAACCCUCAAGGUUCAGAUCUCUCUGUUAUAGCUUUCUGUAAUUAAUUAAUUCAAUUAAGAGCUCUGUUUCUCCGUCUUUUUUUUUUAAUUUUUUUUAUCAGAUUAUCCCUGAUUUAUGCGUCUGUUUCUGAAUUUGUGAAUAACAUGGGAAUUUGUGUAAACUGCUCCUGAAUUUGUGAAGAAUAUGGGUGUUUUGGUUCUCAGAAAAUAUUUGUGAAAUUUUGGUUUAUGUUUCCGUCUCUGGGUUGAUCUGUUUGUAUUCAAGUUCUCAUUUUUUUCCCCCUCCAUGGAUGUAAUUUAAGGGUGUACUGCUUGAUUCCCGGGAAACUUUGGAAGGAAAAUGAUAGAAAUUGCAAUGCAACAUAUACACCAACUCUUUCUAUUUGUGAAUUUCUGUGUGUUUGGUUAGAACCUAAGGCCUCGUUUGGUCUCUAGGAUCGGAUUGGAAUGGUUGAAAUAACAAUGAAUCGUAUAAUUUUUCUUAUUAGUAAAUUGAUUUCUCAAUUUGGUAUGAUUGAGAUCUUCUCAUGCUGUAAUAUCAUAAAGGGUGACCCCAAGCCAACAAGGCUCUAAGGAGCGACCUUUCUGUUGCGCUAAGGCUCGCCCUCGCUCUAGUAAUGCCGUAGAAUAUGGAUAACUUGUUCCCUUAUGAUCUUUUUAAGUUUUUUUCCCAGAGUUGCAUAAUUUUGAUCAAGAACUAUUAUUUUUGUUGGGAUUGAGACCCAAAAAAAAUCCUUUUGCAGAUUAAAAUUCCGAAAGAAACUCUCGUAGGCAUCAAAUCGGCAACAGAAGUACGAAUUGAAGGCGGUAGUUGAAAUGAAGAAAGAAGGAGCCGAGGAAACAAGCAUGGAGAUAGUGAAGAAGUUUUUGGAGAAAGAAGGUGAAAUGGCAAUCGCCAUGGAUAGUCUGCCCGACAGGUUCUUUGAGCCCUUCAUCCUGAAAGGCAUUAACGUCGAUCUCCUUGAACCCGGACACAUUGUUUGCUCCUUCAAAGUACCCCCGCGUUUGGUGAACGGGGGCAAUUUCUUGCACGGUGGAGCCACAGCAACCCUUGUGGAUUUGAUAGGAUCAGCUGCAAUCCUCUCCUCUGGAGCUCUCAGUUCCGGAGUUUCGGUGGAGAUCAAUGUGUCGUACUUGGAUUCGGCUUAUCCUGGCGAGGAAGUUGAGGUCGAGUCCAGGACGUUACGUGUUGGGAAGACUGUUGGUGUUGCCAGUGUUGAGAUCAGGAAGAAGAAGACUGGGAAGAUUAUUGCUCAGGGCCGUCAUACCAAGUACCUUGCUGUUUCUAGCAAACUCUGAACAGCUAGGAAAUUGAACCAAGGCAUACUGUUCAGUCAGUGUUAAGAUUUUUCGACAUCGAAUAAUUUUUUCUGGAGUGAAUUGUAAUACAAGCAAUGCUCAGUCAAAUUCUCCGUGACUGAUACAAAUAGUUAAGAACAAUACAAUAUUUCACCAAAAGUUGUCGAAAACCAGAACAUUUAACUGCUUAAGCUUUUAGAUAAUAACAUGAUCCAAUCCUCAAAAUUGUAUUGCUCAAAUUUGUAUUCCUCAGACUGAUACAAUUGUUAAGAACCAGUAAAUGCUUAUAAAAAAUUCUCAAAAAACAGAACAGAUAAUCAGUUAACCAUUCGAUCACAACAUUCACUGAAUCACGAAAAGUUAACCGAAAUCAAGAAAACAACAUUGACCAUUUGAGUCACAAUUCGUCAAAAUCAUAUCCAUCGUCGUUAUUAUAUCCCUCAUCGUAAUUGUAUACUUCAUCAUAAUUGCAUCCAUUAUAUUCGUCGUUUGCAACAUGUGUAUCAUCGUCAUAGCCUUCUCCGGCUUCAGCCUCUUCACUGUACGUAUUUUCAUGUUCGAGCUCCUCAUCAGGACUAACUUCAAAAUGAAUCUUUUUCUGAUUUGACAGCUGUUUACCACUGCCGCAAUUAGACUCUUUGCGUUCUUCAAAUCCAGGUCCCUGAAAAACAGACGGAGAAAAAGGUCAGAUUAAGCAAAUUCAGGAUACAUUGACAAGUUCUGGCCGUUGCUCGUAAAAACAGACAUUCUAAAACCUCUUAGGAUUCAUAACUAGGAAUUACAUUGCAAAAUUAUUAUAUAUGGCCAAAAAAUUAUUAACCAUAUAACGAGAUAUAACACUUCCUAUUUCCUAAAGUCUUCUAUUAGCUGCUCGAUUAGCAAACAACCUGUAUAAAGAUCAUGGUUUCACAUAUUUAGGUUUUAUCCUGCCAUAGCUUGUACAACUUCGAUAGACCUUUAUUCCAUCAUACAAAAAUUGGUGUCUGCCGACUGACCAGAAAUAAACGAGUAACAUGUGACGACUGUCAAAGUUUGACAUACUAUUAGUCUACCAGGUUUGUUUGGUUUUUUUUAGUCUUUUGCAAUCUGCAUUAGGUUCACAGGCAACGAGACAUAUAAUGUUUGACAACAUAAUAUGCAAAUUGCAGAGCUAUGAGUGAAGCAAGAAUGAUUCUAAAAUAAGCCGGUGAAAAGAUACUUACAAGUUUCUAUUUUUGAAAUAAGCCGCAUGUGAAAAGAUACUUACAAGCUUUUCAUUCAAAAGCUCAAAGCAUGAAAGUUUUUGAACUCAGCCUCUGCAAGUAAAAAAGAAUACUAAGCCAAGUCUUUUAUCUGCAUUAUCACAGGCAAGACAAUAAUGUUGAUGAAUUAAGCUAUAUGAAGCAAGAAUGAUUCUAAAAUAAGCCGGUGAAAAGAUACUUCCAAGCUUUUCAUUUAAUUUCUUCAAAGCAUCAAAGUCGAUUUUUGAACUCAGCCUCUGCAAGAAAAAAGAAUGCCAUGUAAAUAAUUGUUGGAUAAGAUAUAAGUUGCAUCAGCUAAUUCCCUUACCUCCUUGUUAUUUAUCAGCUAAUUCCCUUACCUCUGGAGGAAUAAUACUUAAACGAAGCAUAUCCAUCAGCUAAUUCCCUAACGUCCUUGUUAUUUAUCACAGUAGAAACUUUGGCGGUUUUUUCUGCAGGUGCAGCUUUCUUGGCUUUUCUGGCUCGUUUUCUACUCUUUCCCUGCCAAAUUUAUCCAUUGUAUGUAGAAAAUUAGAAAUCGAUAAGUAAGGCACAAUGCUGGCAGUAAAACAAAGACAGAUAAACGAAAGGGAAAAACUAAAAAAUAAAUCACAUGCAGAUAAGAUAAAAAAAUAUUAAAAAAGUUAACCAUCACCCAAUACUAAUUUGUAAGCAGGUGUGACUCCAAUAACAGUUGAGAAUUUAGGCACAAACAACGAAGAAUGGUGAAUAAGCUGAAUGAAUCUUCCGAGCAUACACUUUAGAGAACAAUGCACACAUGACAGUCUAGAAAAAUGCAAAGAUAAACUCAAAUGAAGUAAAUAUUGGGAUAAACCACAUAGCUAAGCUAGCCAUAUCCCAUAAUAUAAUGAAUAAAUUCAAGGUUUUGGUUAGAAGGUCCUACUUUGAAAGGAAUGAUUUUACUGCAACGAAAUGCAUAAAAAGUGAAAGCAAGACACCAGUUCCAAGACAUGUCCUCUAUCAUAACUGAAAUUGCCUAUUUAGUGGGGCUUAAGGACUCAGAAUUUGUUGUUUUAUGUGCCUAGGAUCUUAAAAGAAGUAUUCUUCGUAGAUUAGCCAUAGUUUCAAAGACUAGGACUAAAAACAAGUUAAUUGUCUGGAAGACAAAGGGUUUGUUGCAAAUUUCAGUUAGCAGCAGGCUUUUUGAAUUUGGGGGCUAAAAGUUAGAGAAACCAGAAAGAAAAAACAGGUCAAAGAUUAGGGCUUUUGAAUCAAGUACGAAAAGAGAGAGAGUACAAAAGUUCUAGAAAGAGAGAGUUGAGUUAAGAACUUCCAAAAAAUCACUGAGAUAACGAGUAAAGGAAGAAUGAAGAGGCAAAGAGUGGAAGGAAGAAAACCAGAAACCCAUACAAGGAAAAUGUAUACUAGUAUGGUCAUGAUCAAAUGCAAAAUCCCCUCAAUUGUUCACUCUAAACAGUCGUGGCCAUAAAAAAACAUAGACGAAAAAUAAGAACAAAACCAUCGAAUAAACAGAAACUACGAAAUUGCCUAACAUUGCACCAAAUCCUUGUGAAAACAAAUGUGUCAAAACUUAUAGACUUGCAAAGGCAUUACCUGAUCGUAGUCCUUGUUAAGUACUUCCCAAAUUAAUCUUUUAAACAGUGCCGCCUCCUUGCUGUUAAGGUAUCCAGCAACCUAAAAAACAGAAGCAUGAGUUCUUCCAUAUCGAAAUUCACAAACGAAAAAUAGAAGCAACAAUCACAUACGAAUCCAAAUCGCUAUACGGACUACCAAGUGGGCUAUGAUGGAAGUGUUCUCUGAUGGGCAGGUGGGUGUAACUUUCAGGAUCUCUGCCUUUGUGUUUGAUUAAAUUUAUCCCCUUAAUCAUCAGACAUGGAAAAUGUGGUCGAUUGUCAUGAACCAAGAACUGAACUUUUCACAAUAACUAUGAAAUAAAAUUCCAACAACGUCGCAUGCAAACUAAAAAUUCUUAUUAUCAUCGAAAUAUUUGAGCACCUACCUUAAAUUCAUCAACUUAUGGAGAAUGGGCAGACACCAUUCGACGAAAACAAUUCAGAAAAUUGAAAAAAAAUAAUAAGAAAGCAAUGCCUGCUUUAUCAGCAUACCUCGGAGUCGUCGAUAUCUGAGAGGCUUUCUGAGACAUCGCCAUCCGCAGUUGACAUUGCAGCUUGCCGCCUUCUUUUGUAAACUCUGGGUUCUUUUGAAUUUUAUGUAAUUUUAGGUCUUGGGUUUUCCAGUAUUCAUGGAACUUGAAUUUAUAUCGACAGUAAUGUCGGCGACCAAACAAGAACCGACCUAGUUCGGUUUCCCUUUUAGUAUCAAAUCAGUCCAGAUUUGGUUCUGAUUUUUUAAGUUAAACGCGUUAACAAGUUAAAUGUUAAAUUUGAUUUCUAUUUUUUACUGUUUAUUUUGAUGCCAUGAUCUGUUGAUCAAUACAGAAAUUUUAUUUUUUUAAACAUCCUUUUUAUGAGUAAAAUGUAAGUGAAAAAGAUAAUAAAAGCCCAAAAUCUAAAGGGCUAGGCCCAAAAUAGUAGGGGAAUUUAAUCAAGAAACCAGAAAAACUCAGCCCAAUCUGAAAACCAUGUGGUUUUUUUUUGGGUGAACAAAACCAUGUGGCAAGCACAAACGCCAUGCAUUACAUCUUACAUUGUAGAAACGUAUUCCUACUGCUGGAACCAAAUUCGCGCACAAUCAUUGGUAUACGAAUAAUCGUUGGAAUCUCAUGAACACCGAUAAAUAGAAGAAUUGUUUGGAGUAUAUAACUGAAUUCGAAAAUGAUUGCCUACAUAUCUCCUCGUCAAAGAGGAAGAAUCAAAUCACGAGCAGUUCUGCGUUGUAUGAGCAUGUAUGCGUUAGAUGAGAUAUCAGAUAUACGUUAUAUCUCCUUGGAGUGAAUCCUAACUUGAAUAUUUAUAGAUGAUAUCUUUCAACUCUUUGUCUUGCUUUGCAUGAAUGCUUAUGCAUAUGUAAAGCGACAUAUCAAAGCCAAUAUUCUCGAGCUAUAAUCAUGCAAAUAUAAAGUAUAAAACAAUAAUUCAUUUAGCAAUCAAACACCUAAAGCGUCAUUCACAUCAAAUAAAAUGAUAUGAGCAAUAAUUAAAGCUAAGUAGGUAAAAGAUCAUCUUACCAUUAUGUUGUUCUCCUUAAAAUUUCAUUAUUUCAAUUUGAACUCUUUUGUAUAUGUUUCUCCAUACAUUAGUUCUUGUUCUUUAUUUUUAGUGUGGAUCAGAUUCAAAACUCUUUUUCCCACACCAACUCACUUUUUUUUUCUCAUUAACCGACUCCCUCUCACCACUUUCUUUCUUUUCAACUCUCUCCCAACCUUCCAAAACCUCAUUAUUUUCCUUCUCUUCUUCCAGUUCUUUCCCUUCCAGUAGGCUAUUCUCACACCUUCACUUCCCACAAACACCCCCUUCUUUCUCUUUGUCACAGAUGACAAACUACAAAACAACACUUCUCUCUCUCUCUCUCAGUUGUUUUCAUUUUUAUUAACUUGUUGCUCACACUCUUUUCUUUUCUUUUCCUUGCCUCACACAACUCCCUCGACACCUCUCCUUCUCUUUCCUUCUUUUAUGCUUUUCUUCAACCCCUUAUCUUCUUUAAUAUAGCUGAAAAUUUGCAUAUGUAACGGGAGUAGAAUUGGUGAGCAACAUAAAAUGGAGAUGUAGGCCAAAGAGGCUGGCUGAGAAGGCCAGCUCAACCGUACAUAAGCUGUUCAAACUGAUGCAUAGGCCAACAUACAGAUUAGGUUGUCGAGCUUCUUGGAUAAUUUAUAGAAGAGAUGAUAAGGAACAAUUUUUGUGAAUGAAGUGUUUUUGUUUGAUCACAGUAAGUUGGAUUUUUAAGCUCCAAACAUGACUGUAUGGUUUUCCGCCGAUUUUCAAGGCUGUAUAGUAUUUUGAUAAUCUGGAAUGAAUGGACAGUUAGAUCUUUCUGAGACUUUGAUAUGUUAAGUUAGAGAGAAUAAGGAACGAUUUCUAUGAAGAAAAUAUUUUGAUAUGAGUAAGAGAAAAUGUAGUUUCGAAGCUCACAACAGGCCUGACGGGUUGACAGACGAAUGCUGAGCAGUCACUGAUUAUACCUGAGUUUCUGAAGUUAUACAGCUCCUAUGGAUCUCAUAUUUGGAUAUGUUGUAUUUAACGAGUUAACGAACAACUUUCUUGAAGACGGAUUUUUGAUUUGAAGUAUAGAAAAUGGUAAUUUGAUCUGCAAAACAGAUAUGACGAAUUUCUGGUUCUUGAAAUUCUUUCUCUUGAUAACUAGAAGAAAAUGAUGAUGAGUUUGGUGGAGAGAUUUGUUGGGUAAGCUCUUAUGCAUUUUUUGGGAUUUGUAUGUGAUUUCUUUCUCCGGAUUCUCGUUGAAAACUAGAAGGAGAUUUGGUGGUGCUUCACAGAGUUGGAUAAUGGUGUUUCACUAGAACUUGAUAACACAAACAUUCACAUAAACACACAGUAUAGGAGUGGUUCGUCAAAGUGACUACAUCCAUUGAGGUUUGCUUUCAUUUGUAUUUCACUAUAUAUGAGAGACUUACAAAUACAAUGAAAGAUGACUUAAAACGUUUACAUAAGGUAAAAUAAAUGGAUGACGAAAGAGGAAUGGUCUGAGAAAGAGAACAUUCUUUUUGCUAGUGUGUUCUUGCUGGUGUGGUGUUCUCCCUUUUUUUUCCUCGUGUCCUUCUUCUAGUUCUUGCUCCUUCCUUUAUAGGGAUCAUAUGAGAUCUUCCUUCUCACAACGUGUACAAUCUAACUUGAGGUUAAAAGCUCCGUAGUGUCCCAAUAGAAAGACACAUUGUGCAAAUUAUUAACCAUUAAUAAUGAUAUGUUAAACUUAUCAUUAAUAAUGAUAUGUGUCCCAAUAACAAAGCAAAAUGUGUUAGCUAAUCCUGAACAAAAAAUAUCAUGUAAGAUGGAUGCAUGUCUAAGGCCACGUUAAAGUUUAUCUUAUGGUGAGCUUGUUGGAACAAAACAUAUGGUAACUCUACAAAUUGGUAGGAUAUCCGGAUGGUGAAUUAAAACCUCCAAAACCCAUGGUUAUAAUCACACCUCAAACUAAAACCAAAAGAGUAGCAAAGUAUUUAAUUGCUAGUGGCACGCAAAUGAGAAAUACAAAGCCUAACAAAUCAAUCUACAAAUAAAGUGAAACAUAUAGGUAUUUGUUAACUAAUGAAAAAAAGAACUUGGUAUAUCAAACUUUAGCAUAAAACACAAAUUAAAAGUACUUCGACACUUUUAUAUAUAUACCCACUUUUUAAAAUACGGAGUAUUACACUUGCACAUGCCUCUUAUAUAAAGUUGUUUUAGUCCUUUCACGAUCAAGCUUAACAUAUACGACAUUGUUCUUCUUUUAACUCCAAGCAUGAACUUUCCCCUCCUAAAAACUUAGGCUCCAAAUCAUUUCAAUUGUUGCCUAAUUUUUUAGGGAGGAAAGCUCAUAUUUGGAUCCAAAAGUAGAAAAUGUUAUGGAUGUUAGACCUGCAUAGUGAAAAGAUCGUAACACUCUAUAACAAAUAUACUUAUAAUUUUGAGUUUGUUUUUGUAUUGCAUGUGGUUUAAUAUUCUAGUAAAUAAGUCAUUGAGUUUCCACCUAGGUGUCUCAGGUUCGAGAUUCUCCCCUCAUAAAUUAUUUCAAAAAAGGUAACAUAUUGAAAUUUGAAUAAAAGUUAAGGUGACAAAUACAAAAUUUGCCUUUUCUUCUCUAUUAUGAAACUGGACCAUCAACAUUAAGGCUCAAUUUAUAGACCCAAAAAGGCCUUAUUAAAUUAUAAUUAUUAAAAUGUGUAUUAUAUAAAAGGAAGGGGUCCAAAACAAGUACAAGGGUGCACAAAGCGAUAAAAGGAGCAUGCGGAAAUCAUUUCCCGACAUUUAUCACCUUCCUUCUACUCUAAUGCCAGUGAGCAGUGAUUGAGUGACAUUUACAGGAGAAGGCGCAGGGUCAAUCCAGGGAGUGUUAGCACCACUUGCAUUGCUGCCUCCCGGCUGAUAGUUGAGGCGAACAUUACUAUCCUUGGAUGCAGUUGAUGGGGUAUCAUCCCCCACCAAAAAACUAUUUGUUGACAAUGUUAUUACAUCUUUAAAAUCAUAAUCUGUCAAAUAACUUGGCUUCGACAUGACAGUGCCUAAGUCAAUGUCUCCAGAGAGCAUUGCAGCCACGCGUGACAUAGAUGGCCUCGCCAUCGGUGAUCCCUGCGUGCACAAGAGAGCUGCUCGUAUCAAUCUAGUUGCUUCAGUUUCAUCAAACUCUGUCAAUCUUGGAUCCACCAGCCCCAGAGUUUGGUCGUUUUCAUGUAGAGUCCAUACCUGAAAAACAUUAUGCCACGGUCAAAGGAAAGUAUAAAUAAGUUUUUCACAACAAUGCCAAAAUGAAGCUAGGGGGAUGCAAUUCCUACCCAUUCAAGAAGAUAAAUCUUUUUUGGAUCCAAGUUAUUGUAAGAGUUUGGUCUCCCGCUGAGGAUCUCCAAAACGACGACUCCAAAACCAAACACAUCGACCUUCUCUGUCAAAUGUCCAAACAAUGCAUACUCCGGUGCCAAAUAGCCUCUGCAAUGCAAGAUAAUCAAAUGGUUGCACAAUGUUGCUUGAGAUCAUUAGAGGCAUUAUUAACAUGUGUGUUAAAAUUUCAUGCAAGUAUAAAUGUGUGUGGCCAUAAUGUAUGUAUCCUCUAGAAAAACAAUAAAGGAUGGCUUACAUUGUCCCUGCAACCCGGGUGCUGAUGUGGGUUUUCUCGUCAUCAUAAAGCUUUGCUAGUCCAAAAUCUGAUAUUUUUGGGGAGAGUUCUGCAUUGAGCAAAAUAUUACUCGCUUUGACAUCUCGAUGUACAAUCCUUGGCCUUGACUCCUCAUGAAGGUAAGCAAGUCCUCUUGCUGUUCCCAACAAUAUAUUGAAUCGAGUAGGCCAAUCAAGGUGCAAGUUACUUGUUCCUGAAAUAUUAGUGAACACAUCCAAUCAAAAACAUUUCUUAACAAUUUUAGAGUGCUUGAAACUGUAGACAAAUGCAACCUAAAAGUAGAUAGGUUUGUACCAAAAAGUGCUUGAUCAAGGCUCUUGUUUUCAAGAUACUCAUAAACCAAAAUGCGGUGGCUGCCUUCGAUGCAGCAUCCAUACAAUUUCACUAGAUUUCGAUGUUGCACAGCAGAUAUGGUAGCAAUUUCAGAUACAAAUUGACUCUUCCCUUGGUGAGAUGCUACUGAAAGUUGCUUCACAGCCACUACUCUCCCAUCAGAAAGUGUACCCUACAAUGUACACAGAAACACAAUUUAGUGACAUGAAAGGAAAGAAAAAAAAAGCUUUAUUUUCUUCUCUCCCUCGCUCGCUCUCCCUCCCUUUCUCUUGUCAUUACUUCAAGUACAUGAUACUGAUGUAAUACGGAUUUCACCUUAUAAACAGGGCCAUAUCCUCCUUCUCCUAACUUAUUUGAAGGAUUAAAAUCUUCGGUUGCAGCUCUCAACUCAGCAUAACUGAAAGUAUUUGGUCGAGGGCCUAAUCCUAGAAUAUCUGCACAUUCACGAAACAGUGUGAUAUAAGUUUUACUUUCGUGAAAGCAUUCUUACUUGUGUGUGUUAAUGUCAAAGCAGAGAAACCUGAAUUGGAUACCACUAAUAAUAUGGUCGUUUACCUUCAUCGUCGUCCUCUUUUUCUGAUUUUUUCCUCCUCAUAUAUAGAAUCGCAAAUAUUAAUAGCAAGCUCCCAACUCCAACAGGAACUGCAAUACCAACUAUCAAUCCAGUCUUGCUUUUCUUUCCUCGAGUAGUUGGUGGAAGCCCGGAAACUGUUGGUGUAAAAUCUGAGUGAUAAAACAGAUGAAUUCUUCAGUGUCAAUUAACAGCAGAAAUAUACAUUUAAACCAUUCAUAGGAAACCUCUACUAGUUAACACAAAUUAUACCUGAAGCAGCAUGGACAGCUGCUAUUAGUGGGCCGUAAUCACCAAAAUCGGGUAUGCAACAAGUCCCCUUACCAGCCCAGAACAGAUGAAUUUCAAGAUAAUUCUCUGACACGCUAACAUUGAAUCUUUCCAUAAUUCCUAUUUUAACCCCACCAGCCUCCUUGGAUAUUUCAAAGUCCCUCGUCCUGCGGGUACCCUAGCAACCAAAUGAAGAGCUAGGUAAUAAUUCUAGUCUCCUUUAAAUUAUAAGAGACUUUGAAUGCGGUCCCUAAUUACCAAUGUCAUUUGACUGAAAUCUUGAUGAUUUUCAGUUUUAUAUUAAAAUUCCUGACAUUAAUGUAAUAAUAUAUUUUUAUGUAGGUUAUUAUAUUUUAAAUUAAAUUAAAAUUCCUGACAUUAAUGUAAUAAUAUAUUUUUAUGUAGUUUUUUUUCUUAUGCAGGUUAUUAUAUUUUAAAUUAAAUUAAAAUUCCACCCCACCCACACCAAGCCUUGAACCUGGGACUUAAUCUACCCCACCCCAUUACUACUAGGCUAUUCCUAGUGGCUUAAAUUGAUAUUUGUAGUUGUUUAUAUUAAUGAUAUUUUAAAAUAAAAUCCAUAAUUUAUGGGAUUAAAAACAUUAAAGGAUAAAGUAUACUCUCUAAUAUAUUGUGUGUGUAUAUAUAUACACAUACAUACAUACAUACAUACAUGGGUACAUUCAUCAAAACUAACCAAAAAAUGGGUACAUUUUUCAGAAGAAAAAAAAAGGCUUAAUAACAUAUUAAAUUUCUUCGAUUAAACUACACAUGGAUACAUUUUCAAAUCAACAAAAUAGAAUGCGUCAUUUAUAAAUUUAAAAAAUGGUUUUAAAAAAAAAUGAAUGGAUUUUAUAUGAAAAGGGGUACAUUUUUUAUAUUAAAAAAUGGUACAUUUAUAUAUAACAAAUUGAUAUAUUUAAGAAUAGGUACAUUUAAGAUUAUAAAAAAUUGAAAAAUAUAUGAAUGGGUACAUUUAAGAUUAAAAAUUAAAAAUAUUUUAUAAAAGAUUAAUGGGUACAGACUUAUUCUAUUUUUUAUUUUUUAUUUUUAUUUUGGAAAUGUUUUGAAUUGAAAAUAAUUAGGAGUGUAAUAAGGGUGUGAGUAUUAAAACUCUAAAUCAAUUAUUAAUUUUUAUUUUAAAAAGUUAUGUAACUAACAUGCAAAUUCAUUAAUAAAUUAAUGUUAGUAACUUCGAUCAAAAUCUAAAAAUUAAUAAGGUCUUAGUUAAUAAACAUUAGUAACUAGGAACCGCAUACUAAAUUUUCCUUAAAUUAGUAUCUUUAGUUAAAGUAGCUUAUAAUAUCGAAAACCUGCCCAAUGAGUCUUUACUUCAAAUAAGUUAGAUUUUUUUUUUCUUUUCCCAUAAGCAGCCUUACCUGAAUAUAGAUAUCAAACACACGUCGUCCUAGACUUGCCCAAGUUUGCUCAAUGCGCCUAUCAAAACCGUCUCUGCAAAGUGCAACGUUACAGUGUAAGGUCCAUUCUCAAGACCCAGGCCAUAGUAUCUCAGUGAUCCUGGGGACAAUCUUGAAGUCUGGAAAAGCUCCGGGGUCACAUCUGUUCCGGUGACUUGCUCAAGGGUAUUUUCCAGAAACGAUCGGUUCACUCCGUCAGAAAACAUACCGACAUUGCUGACAGCCCAAUUCUCUAUACUGGUUACAUUGAAUGUUGCUGGACCAAGAGCUGAGUCUUCGGCCUCAUACGAUAUGCCAUCACGUCCCUUCAUUUCCGGUCCACCACAGUUGAUUGAGAAGUUUGCAUCUGUAAGUUUCAUGUAUUACCAGAAUCUACCCAUGAUUAGCGAUGAAACUUCAAAUUGAAGACUCAUACUAAUGUUUUUCAGUCACAUAUUUCUGACCAGUUAUGCUUAUUUCUGAACUUAUGAAAACAUGCUGGCAAUCUAUAUCCAUAUGUAUACAUAACUAGAGAAGCAAUGCCUUCUCUAACAUGACGUUGAGUUAAAACAGUAAAUGUUGGGUGACAUAAAAGCAGAUUACAUCGUGGGGCAUUUCGAUUGCAUGGAAAAUUUCUCUGGAGGCAAUUCAAUCCAGGAAGAGUACUGCAAACACAGAGAACAAUUAUUAGUUAUCCAGAUAGAAGCAUAUAGUGGAAGAGUAGUGAUAGUAUUGCUUGUCUAAAAACCGGCAACAGAAACUUCAACUCACGUUUUGUUUUUUUCGUCAAAUGUGAAGUUGUUGACCACUAAGUUCCUGCAUAAAAUCAUUAAUCAAUCAACAUGUGAAGAAAUAUCUCUGUCAAAUGAAAAUUCCAUGUACAAGAUCAAAACUUAAUAGGCAAGUAGCACUAUGAGAACGAAUCACAGUGAUAUUUUUUGUCCGAACAUAUUCUAGGGAUUUAAAUUGUAAAAUGAAGGUGAAAGAUAAAAGGAGACGUACAGUUGCGAUAUUGUGAUCACCCACUGGGAAAGCUUCCUGAUAAAAAAAUUGUAAGACAAAUCUCUGCUAAUAACAAAAUAGAAUCAGAAGACACAAAAUGCAUGAAAGUUAUAAGAACUUCAACUUGUGUAAGAUAAAGGAUUAGAAUGCUUACAAAAUGCACAAACACAUACAUGCACGUGCACACACAGGUACAAAGUACUGGUUUCAGUGUCAAUAGACUCUGUACAUUCUAUAUGACUACUUUUAAGAAACGAGGACUUACAUAGUCUGAAGUCGAUCGCUCUUUUGGCUCGGAAGAGGUCCGGACAGACUAUUAUUUCCAAGAAACCUGGCCAUUUCGAUUAUAGUAGAAGGCACCCAGAAAAGAAAAAGAGAUGAGCAAGAAAAAGGUCAGAUGUGCAUAAAAUCUAUAAGGAUUAGUCCAGAUCUUCAAUCAAAGUAGGGAAUGUUAAGAUUUGAUAACUUAUGUAUGAUGAGGCAAGCAAAAUAUAAUAAUAAGAACGGGGAUUACAAGGAUGUAAGAGAACUCAUGGUGAACAAAGAACUUGGGAGUUGGCCUGUCAAAUUGUUGAAACUCAGAUCCCUGCAACACCAACGAUAAGUUGAGAGAAGCAAUCAGAACGAAAGAAAACUAAUUGGCCUCGUUGGGACUCAAGCUUAUAUGCACUAGUACGUACAGUAUCUGUAGACUUUGAUAUUCUCCAAUAUCAGAUGGGAUGGUACCAGUGAUUAAUGCGUUUCGUAGUUUUCUGUUCACAUCAAAUUUGAUAAAAAGUAGAUGGAGUAAGAUAUCAAAAGGAAAAAGGACAACGUUGGAUGAAAGUAUAUGGAUCGACAAGAAUUCUUCACUUACAAUUCAGUCAAGUUCUUCAUAUUUUUAAUGAAAUCAAGAGAGGAGCUCCCAUCGUAUAUAUCAUUGAUAUGCCUACAUCAUUAUAUGCAAAAUAACUGAAAUCCCGUCUUCGGAGAAAGGGAAAGAAUUACAAUUUAUGAAGCAUUUGUACUUACAGAGAUUUCAAUGAGGUCAGUUGAGAAAAGCUGGUUGGUAUUGGGCCUUCCAAAGAGUUCCCUUGAAAUCGCCUACAGAAACAUAUAAGAAGCUUGUGAACAAGUUAUCCAUCUCAGGUCUGCUUUCAUAAACUGCAUAAGAUCAAAAUUUUUUGUGCUUACAAAGAAAUGAGUUGUGUCCAAUUCCCUAUGAAAUCAGGAAUCUUUCCUGAGAAAAGACUGUCUGAUGUCCAACUAAAAUUCACAAAGUUAACUUAUAAUAAGCUCAUCCAAGAAAAGCAAUCUCAAAGUACUAGAUAAACGAACAAAUCUAAAAUACGAUUUAAGAGCCGUUCUUACAAGAUUUGCAUACUGGUUAGCUUGGCAAAUGUUGAAGGAAUUUCACCACUGACUCCACAGCUGUCCAUGUAACUGUGAAAAUCAUAAGGCAACUGAUUAAUACCCAUCUUAUACGAUAAUGUGCAAUUUUUGCUUAUGCGUAAGGAACUACAUGUAAUUCAAAUUUGAUGAUUUAACGAACCACUUACAUUUGCUGGAGCUUGACUAAAUUACCAAGUUCUGGAGGGAGUGUUCCGGAGAAAUUAUUUGAUCCGAAGCCCCUGCAAAUCAUGUUGAACAGGCAAACAAUUACUUGAAAGCAAUUAUUGAAGAGUGACAGAAGGUUCUGUAUCUAAUGUUUACGACACAAAAUGUUACUGUACGCUUUCUCAUUUUUCAUGGCUUACAGUAUACUUAGCUCCUUAAGGUUUCCAAGCUCCUUGGGGAUGGGCCCAGAGAAUGAAUUGUGGCCAAUUUGCCUGAAUGGAGAUAUCAGUUAACUAAAGAUAAGCACCAUUACAGUACGUUACAUUAAGAAACUAGUACUGCAUUAUUCAACAAAAACAUAAUGGUUUGUAUAGAUUACGGUGCAAAUUAUAGAGAAAAGGUGUAAAGAACAUAACUGUAGAUUAUGAUAUUCAAAAUGAAGUACACAAAUUGCGACUAGUCUCAUCAGAAGUAUGAUACUUAAAACAAAUUUUCUCUCACUACUUACAAUUCAAUCAAUGCAGACAUAUUGCCAACGAAUGCCGGUAGGGAACCUUUGAAAUAAUUCUUAUCGAUUUUCCUACAAAAAUUGAAACGAAAUGUAAUCAUUAACUCUUAAUCUUACGACAUCACCAUAUUUUUAAUUUCCAAUUGAUAAGUUUGAUGAACCAAAAACAGAGAAGGGAGUUGGAAAAAAUUCAUACAAAACUGCGAGAUAUCUUAGAGCCAAAAGUUCUUCGUGAAACACCCCUCGUUUGUACAGAGCUUGCACUUUCCUGGAAAGCAAAAAGAUUGACCAUUUAGAACUUUAUAAAAUGGAGUGGCACAGUCAAAUUAUUGACUAAUAGAUAUAGGUAUAGCUAGCGAAAAAUCAGCAUUGGCAGAGAAAUCUUGUUCAUAAAGAGAGAGUAGUUUAACAUACAGUUUGGUGAUGUGGCAUGUAGCAUUGUUGUCGUAAGAACAGUUGCAAACGAUGGCUGGGUUGAUAUUGGGGCUAUCAAUGUCGGUGCCGUCGAUGGCAGAUCCACUGCAGGGUUUUCCGCUGAUAUUCCACAGCCCCGACAUUGCUUGUGUGUCCCAUUGUUCAAAUAUUAAGUUCAACGCCCUCACUGCACCCUCAGUUAAUUCAGUCCUUGUGUGUAUUAUAUUAUAUCACACCAUGAUUCGACUUGUGUUACCACUUACCAGACUAUCUCGAAUCAAAUGAGAGAUCAAACUGAUUAUAACAAAGGAAAAUUACCCUUAAAUUGGAAGUUUUGUAUAUGGGAAGAAAAAUGGUUUUGCAAAUAACUUCCUCAGAAACUUCAUUUCAUAUAGUCGAAAAACACUUAAAUGUCAUUUUGUUGAGGGAAAACAGCUCAGUUCAUGGUCAAAAACACUUAUAUGUGGCAAAUUGUGUAUGUGUGUAGGGAGGGAGAGAUACAGAGAGACAAAGAGACAGAGAGAGAGAACCUUCAGAUGGGUCAGUGGUAGCAUUUUGAACAAAGGACAGCUGAAAACACAAGCAGCUGAGGAAGCAUAGUAAUAGUAUCCUCAUCAUCAACUUCAUCUUCAUAUUGUAAAUGUGCAGAACUUGCUCUCCUCGACGGCGUGAAACUAAACGGCCAACCCUUAUAUUCCGACUGGCUGAAUCUUGCAUGUAAAAAGAAGACCAUAAGAUUUUAGUCAUAUAUUGACAACGUGUGCGUAUAUACUUAAAUUUUGUCCAAGUUGUAGAUCAAAUGGCGGCCAACACCUUUUAAAUUUCCCACUUGGAGUUGGCUAAGGCUUUGAUCGUAGUAGUUGGAUUGUAUAUUGUCGUAUUAGACAUUGAGCUGCUUUAGUGUGGAGAUAUUUAUGUACAAUUCUAUAUUGUUAAUACUUUUCUGGUUGAAAAUAUCAAGGGAUUGACUUACGGAUCAAUAUUCUGACUCGUCCACUACUAAUAAUGGAGAGGGAUUUUUAUUUGAUAUGACAUCUAACGAGGAUGUCAUCAUGACAAUAUCUUAAACUAAUCACAUUAUUAUGUAUGACAAAAUUGAAUUGUAACUUUGGUCUAAAAUGGGCGGCUCUAAGCAAACAAGGAUUCCUGCCUUGGAAGGAUGGGAAAAGAACGUCCAUUAUAAGUAAAAAGAUCGUUUUCACGACUCGAACUUGUAACCUUUCGGUCACAAAGAAGCAAAUUUUGCAUUGCGCCAAAGAUCGCCCUGAAUUGUAGCUUUAGUCAAUAAUCUAAAAAUUCAUUAUAGCUAUACAUGUAUUCGACAAAAUAUGAAACACUGGUUAUUGACGCUAAUUCUAUGAGAAUUUUUAUUAAAAGGAGCAUACAUGCAAUUCUCUAAUUUACUCUUCUUAAAGGUAUUCCUCGGAAUUUUGGCCAAAAUUCUUAGCGCGAUAGACUAAUGCUUAACAUUGGUCAAACUUAAAUACUAUCUCUAAUAGAUCUUUAAUUUGCAAACUAAAACUACAAUCAAGUCAUAAUUCACAAAUUAGUCUAGUACAUUAAUUAUACUGUUCAUAUCAAAGACUCAUACUCAUCCUCGCAAUCGUAUCAAUAAGUUCAUCUCUCUUAGCAUAAAAUAAAAUUGACAGGUUUUAUCAACCAGUUAUACGCAUUGGUUGGGAAAGGCAAGGGAGACACAUAUACUGCCUAAGUGGAAUCCGGAUCCUGACAGAGAUUUAUAAAUCGUGUUCGUUUAACGUACUUCAUGUGAUCAAAAAUUAUUUUUUAUUUUUUAUUUAAAAUAAAAUGCAAACAGCAUUUGACACAAUUUAACCGUAUAACGUACGAUUAACAUACAUAAUUCACAGCUUUUCAAGUACCUCACAAAAAAGAGAAUCCAAAGAAUCAUGUUAGGCCUAAGUGGCCUUUGGUGUAUGACACGUAGGUUGCACAUGCAACGCGAUCAACUUGCGGAUCAACUUGCGGGAGUUGACGAGUCUUCCAAAAAGUUCAAUAAGUAUUUUUUUGGUAAAAAAAAAGUUCAAUAAGUUUAAUCAUGGAUAAGACAUUAUAUAAGGGAUUAAUCUCAGUUUAUUAUUAUAAAGUUUCAUAAUUUUUAAUAUUUGAUAUAUAAAUUUUUUUUAUCCUAAAAUCAUAGCUCACGUCUGUUAAACUGAUUGUUAAGUCAACUUUUAAUUGGUAACAUGACACACAUAUCAACAAUACGUUACGCAUCAUUAAAGGUCCACGUGAAUAUUAAAAAAAAUUAAAAACUAAAAAAUUAAAAAACUUAAGAAAAUAAAAAAAAAUUGAGCGAUGAUGCAGCCUGCUGCUAUCCUUCUUUCUCUUCUCUCCCUCAAAUCUCAUAUCCCCAGCAACCCUUGCCCUCGCGACCUCGUAACCGUCGCCCUUCAUCUCGCUGCCACUAGCAAUGGGUGGGCGGAGAUCGAUUCGGCCACCAACGGAGGAAUUGAAAGGGAAAAUAAAGCGUGCCCGAUGAUAAGCCUAUCGAUCCGAUUUGCUCCGAAGAAUUAGAAUUCUUUGUCCAUGGAGUUUGCCCAUUUUAUUUUUUCCAAAUCCAAUUUCCAUCGUGCGUUUUCCUUUGCCCUUAAAAAAAAAUGCAGAAAUUUGGGAACGAAGGUGAAGGCAGAGAAAUCCCGCUCAUCUCUUCACUCCAAGGCCAAAUCCCACUCAUUGGAUUUUCAUCUCUUCUACCUUAAUCCAAGCCGCGGUGGAGCUGGGCAAAGCCGAAGGCAUGCCAGACUCACCAGUCCAGAUCCCAACCAUUUCUUUUCUGCCUGAACCACCCAGCCAACCCCGAACCACCAGGACCCGCACUCGACCCGUCGCAAGCUCGCGCCUGCCUGACCACCCGCUGCAACCCGCCAGAACCACAAAAUUGCAUCCCCGUCGCACCCAGAUCGGCAGAAGAACUAAUUGCAGAAGAGUGAAAAAGGGACGGGGGAGAGGAAGCAACUAUCCCCACCUUUUUCUAUUUUUUUUUAUUUUUUUAAUGUUUCUUAAAUUUAUUAAUUUUUUAAGUUUUUUAAAUUUUAGUUUUUUUUUGUAAUUUUCACGUGGAUCUUUAAUGAUGCGUGUGACGUUCAAUCAUUAUUCACAUGAACAUAAUGUUACCAGUUAACAGAUGACAUAACAGACAACUUAACGAAUAUAUAAGACUAUCUGAAAAUUAAGACUUGAUGUAUGACUUUGAAAUAAAAAAAAUAUUUAUGUACCAAAUAUUGAAAAUUACGAAAUUUUAAGUUAAUAAACUGAGAUUAAUCUUUAUAUAAAAUAUGCAAAUAAUUAUUAGAUAUUGGCAAACCACAGUAAUUUUAUUUAUUUAUUUUUUUAAGCAAGCAAAUGGACUGGGAAAUAUACUGCUUUCGAAUGCAUCUGUUGAUCACAGUUAAGGAUGAACUUUAACAUUUCGAAAGAGAGAGCCAGCUAGCUAGCAGUUGAUCUCCUGUAUUUUAUAGGUGUAUAUCAUAUGGAGAGACAGGGAGAGAGAGAGAGAGAGAGCCGACCUGCUGUUGAAGCAGGAGGAGGAGCUGAAGCAGAAGCAAUAAAAAAACUGGAAGGAAGAGAUCAGAGAUGGCGGCUGCUUCGCCCACUAGUUCUGAAAUUCAUCCCCUCUCUCUCUCCUCUCUCUUUUUCCUAAUAAGAGCCAAUGAGAAUGAAAAGGAUAAUUCCCACCAUGGCACCGUGGGAGUAGUGUACAUAUAUGGACCUGGAUUGUUUGUCUUUCUAUCCUUUUCUAUUUCUGUGAUCACAUGUUAACAUUUUAUAUUAAAUUUUUUAUAGAAAUAAUAAAUCACGUCAAUAUUUUAUAUUAAUUUUUUUUUAUAGAAAUAAUAAGACAAAAAAAAUGAAAAUAUAAAAUGUUAACAUGUCUUAAUGGUGAUCACAGAAAUAGGAGAGAAUAAGAAUAAUAUGGAAUGAGGAGGGCAAACAAUCAAGGUCCCAUAUAUAUAUAAUGGCAUAAUCAAGGUUCUAAAAAACGUUAGGCACUAGUCAGGUUGUGGGAUGGUGCCUAGCGCCUAGGUUGCUAGGUAAGCGGCCUAGGCGGAUUUAGGUAAAUUUCUUAUAUUUUAUAUAAAUUAAUUAAACUUACUAUAUUAGGUGUAAAUAAUUAUUGAAUAAUAUGUUAUUUCUUAUAGAAGAACAUACACAUGUGAAUGUUUUAUGUACAUAUAUAAUAUGCUUGCCUAGGAAAAAAAACAAAAUAUUAUCUAAAUUAACAUUUAUAUACAUAUAAUAUAGAUAUACACCCCAAACUUUUAAAAUAUAAAAACCCACACAAGUAGGUGGUUUUCAUGAUAAAACCAUCUUACCCUUUAUAAUAUAUAACUUUUAAAAAUAUCAAAAGCUCACGCAAGUGAGGUGGUUUUCAUGAUUACAACUAGACUUGUAAACGGAUAACGUGUUAGAGAUUUUAAUAAUAAAGAUAUAAAUUAUUAUUAUAUAUAUAUAUAUAUAUAUAUAUAUAUAUAUAUAUUGGUGCAGUGCACCAGCAAUGUUUGACAGAUGAUGGGAUUGGAUCAUUGACCCAACAAUCACACCCUUUGUUAAUAAACGCUGCACCUUUCUGUGUUUUGGCGAAAAGGUGUGAUGUAACCGAAUGCAUUUUUGCAUCAGACAAACAUUGUUGCAAUGUUCAGUUGUAUCUCAUGAUGAGAGGAUACACCCAAAACCAAAGGAUAUGUCUAAAGGUGCAAUUCUCUCUAUAUAUAUUGGUAAUAUUAGUAGAAAAGAUUCAUUAAUUCAGAAAUUAGUUAUCUACAUAAUUUCUUUGUUCUCUUUUCUCUCAUCAUCACAUUCAUACAAUUUCUUUCUAGUUAUUUCUAAGGGAAUAUAAUUCGGUUUUGCUAAUCGAAUAUUUCAUACUUUGUUGUAUCCUGGAAGUGAUUUGCCAAGAACCCUUUAGCAAACUCAUUCGAGUGGGGGCAAAUAACACUUUAAGGAAACGAUUCAAGUCGUACCUCAAAGUCAUUAUUCGGAUUAUUCUCCAUAUUUCUAUAUUUAAUCUAACAUAACGGGUCAUCCGAACCCAACCCGUUAAGCUUAACAGGUCACCCGAAUCCAACUCAUUAAACUAAUGAAUCACCUGUUUUAACCCGUUUCACCCGUUAACUACCAUUGAAUUGAAAACCAAAGAUGUCUUUUUUGGAAGUGGAGACCGCAAAGCGAUGAAUCCAAGACGAUGUGAUUGUCUUGCACAUGCCACCAUUGAAUUUGAAUCCUCUCUUCCUCCUUCUCCAUACCUACAAAAAUAAAUUCAGAAAUUAAAUAUAAAAAAAUAAAAACAAAAACUGGCAUCUUCCCAAAUGAAACCCGAAGUGAAAAAUCGAAAUUUUAACAGUUGAAGGAAGCUUACAAUGAGACGUUUCCAUGUAAAUUACAUAACUUUGAGUCUCAUAUCCAACUUGCACCACCACAAAUAUUUGACUUCUCUUCUAGCAAACAGAGAGGUAGACGGCGAGACUCGGGAAGACAAGAAGGUUGUGAGUCUUGCGACUGAAGUUUCUUUUCCAGGCUGCCCAGACCGCACAAUGUCCGUCGAGCCCGCCUAGCCCACCCAGGCGGCUGUCUUACAUCGCUUAAUGUCCUUGCCGAUUUAGUGAACGAUUUCUAGUUAAUUGUGGUGGAGCACCGCCGCCUAGAGCCUAGGUGGCCGCCUAGACCGCGUUUUAGAACACUGGGCAUAAUUGGUCGUCGAUGUCAGUCUGUCUAUUCUCCAAACUAGCAAUUUGUUUAUUCUUAAAAUGCAAACGACGCUUUUCUAUAAGGGCGAAAAGUUUGUUUAUGUAUUUUGACGUGAGUAAUGUUAAAGAAAUUAAAUUUAGAGGAAUAAUUUAUAAAUUAAAUGAUGUGUCAUCAAUACGAAUAAGCAUUUUUAUCAAUGCUUAAGUAAUAAACCAAUCAUAAAUUUCUAUGUCCUUUAAUUUCUAAAACAUACCUACAAAUUUAGUCUUGCUAACAUUAUUCUUUUGAUGUUGGUUUGAUUUCCACUGAUUUCUUUCUUUCAACAAUUAACAAUUUUAUCUACUUAGGCUUUGCCUAAUGUCCGCACAAUUUUACAACUUUCAACAUGCAUUUGCUUUGGGCUGGAUGAUUUUUCUUGACCAAACCAGGAUUAUAAUUCAACAUUAGCAUGAAUGAUUCACACCAUUACAUAUAUAGUCUUACGAGUUAAUGCACAUCGACUUAGGCUUUGCCUAAUGUCCACACAAUUUUACAACUUUCAAUAUGCAUUCGCUUUGGGCUGGACCACUUCUCUUGACCAAACCAAGAUUAUAAUUCAACAUUAGCAUACAUGGUUCACACCGUUUACAUAUAUAAUCUUACGUGUUAUUCUUGUCAAUUCUAAAAAUAACUUUUUGAAUUUUUCUCAACGACAAGAUAUUUGAUAAUGUGGAUGGCAUUAAAUUAUCUCGUAAUCAAAAGAUAACGAGUCAAUGGACAAAGUUGAGGAAUUGGGAGGUGGGCUCGUUUAAGAAAGAAAUCAAAAUUUAACUUUAAAAUGUCCAGUUUGUGAACAACUUGUAAUUUAUGAAAAAAAUUGUUAAAAUGAAGGAUCCUUUGAAUUAAUAUAAUAUUUUCAGUCGUCAUUUCGUUUCGAACUUUAGUUUGCAAAGGUAUAUACUUACAACAUGAUUUUUGUAAUUAUGUUUAGUCAUAAAGGGUUUGGUACACAAACAACAAAUGGUUGCCACAAUUCUAUAGAGGACACAAAUUUAGGCUAUUUUUUUCACUUCCAUAUUCAAUAUGUGCAUAAUGUUUGGUGUGAAGGACAUUUUGUACUUGUCUGUAAGGAACUAUGAAAAUGAAUAUUUCAAUUUACCAUAUACAAUUUUAAUCUCUUCCCAAGUGGUGGAUUGCCCUAGUAUAUAGGGUCUUUCUUUCAUUUCACUACAUCCCGAAUUCAAACCUCAUACUUUCUUUCAAGAGUAUUUUAGUUCUUUUUAUAGUUUACUGUAAAAAUAUCGUUUUUAUUCUUUUUUAUAGCCUUUUUCAUUUUAAAAAGUAUCUAAAUACUUGAGUAACCUGCACGCGUAGAUAGGUAGAUAGAUAAGAUAACGUUACGUAUAUGAAGAUACGUGCGAGAAUACACUGAUUGAGGAAAAACCUAGUUGUAUCCAAGAGACAUACAUGCAAGACUAGCUCAACUUAAACCGAAAAUAACUAGUCAAAACAUAAAACUAAGCUAGUUGGCCUCAUCACGUCUAACUAUUGGACCUACGACUUGUAAUUGUAUGAUGCUAGUCCUUUGAGGUCAGUAGAUCACCGCAAUGUGCCUUUUUUUGUACAUCCAAGUUUUAAUCCGUCUCUAUCAAGUCAAGGAAAAUUUAGGUAUGCUAAAUCAAAGUAAAUUUAAGUAUUUUUCACCAAAAAAGAGAAAGUAAGUAUAGGUAUUUGAAUUGAAUUUCUCCAAAUCAAGUAAAUCUUAAUAAAUGCCCCUUCUGUUUAGAGGAUUUCUCGCGUUGGAGCUGGAGCCCAAGUAGGAAAUUCCUGGUGCCCAAGCCUAGUUUCCACCUCUCUAACAAGCUUAAAAAUGAGUAAACAUGAUAUAAGUACGUACUAUAUACAUAUAUAUAUAUAUAUAUUAGCAUAUAUAUGAAUUUAGUAAACAUGAUAUAAGUACGUACUAUAUACAUAUAUAUAUAUAUAUAUAUUAGCAUAUAUAUGAAUUUAUAAAUGUAUGGAAGAUAAAAAAAAAAAUUUGAAUUAUUUUUAUAAAUGAUAGGUAGAUUACAUUUUGUAGAAAAUUUUAUUAUGUUUCGGUGCAUAAUAUUUGCUAGACAAUAGAUGAUUAGGAUCGUUGUUUUUUUUAUUUGGUCAAAAGUCUGAAGAAAUCGACGGUGUAAGAAUUGGUGCAUAUAAUCGAAAAUCCUAAUCAUAUAUAUAUAUUUUAUGAGGAAACCUAAUCAUAUGAAUAUAUUGUUCGACAAAAAAAAAAUAAUAUGAAUAUAUUGAGGAAACCUAACCCUUGCCUACAAUCUCGUGCCAAUUUCCGCUCCUUUGGACAUAUCCUAGACCUUCCCUGCAUUCUCUCGCAGGUUCUACGGGGCGAAGCUCACUUGAAAUUUACUGGGAGGACGAGGGAGGAGCCGGAUUCAAACGGAAUGGUGAAGGUAAAGGAAAAGGACGCCAAGUCAAAGGCAAGCGAAUUGUUGUUGAGGAGGAAGGAUGGGCAAAUACUUAUUGGUUAUGGAUAACCGCGGUUAUCCGUCCAUUUCAAUUAAACGGUUACGGUUAUGGGUAACCGUUUAGAUAAAUAAACGGUUAUGGGUAAAACCGUUUACCCGCCAAAUUUAAAUGGGCGGUUAUGGGUAUUAACCACGGUUAUAAACGGGUAACCAUUUACCCAUUUAUUUUAUAUAUGUAAAACUAACACAAACCAUGUUCUCGAUCCAAUAAUACUUAGCACCCAAUAAAUUAGCAAGGAAUUCAUCGGUCCUUCUCUCAAUAACACUACUACAGGAAUGAUGAUUCUCAUCAUCAAGGAAUUGGCCAAAUUAAUUUAAAUUCUUUGCGGAUAACCGUGAAAUUGACAGAAAUGUCUUUUAAACAAUUUUUGUAACCCAAUAAUACUUAGCAAAUAUUAUAUUUACCUUCAUUGGUAACAGUUAAAAAUAUCGUCCGUAAACUAUUAUUUCAAUUAUUGGAAUUGUAUAAGGACUUAAAAAUUAAAAUAUGGAAAUGUAUGAUGAAUCUACCUAUAACGGUGUUUAAUUGUCAAAAAAAAAUUAUGACAAUUUUUUUUUUAAUUUUCAAGUUGUUAAAAAACAUGUAGACGGGUAGAAAAAGGGUAAUGGUAAAAAAAAAAGAUAAACGGGUUAAAAAUGAUAAAUGGGUAAACGGGUAUUAAACGGUUACGGUUAAAUGGGUAUGCGGUUAUGGGUAUGGGUAUAACAGUUUAGGCAAUUACCCAACGGGUAAACGGUUAUGCGGAUAUGAGCAUAAACGGUUAUGGGUAAAUUAACCGCGGUUAUCCGUUCGCAUAACCAUUGCCCAUCCCUCGGAGGAAGGGGAUCCACACAGCCAACAAGGCGACUCAGAGAUAAGAGCGCGACGCUGAUUGCCGCUUCUUGCACGACUGUGUUUCAGAUAUUUUCGCCCAGUGCCUCAAGUCUGAUAUUGAAAAAUUUCAUCAUCACAAGGAUCAUGACCAUGACCAUCAUGAUGAUUACUACUUGGAGAUUACCCAAGCGGCUACCUCUUUGCCUACCACCGCUGAUCAUCAUAUGAUGUUCAAAAACAUUGCAAGGAAGGUUUUCCCGCCAGAAUCAUGCCGCCGAGAAGGGGAUGGUAGUGUUUGUUAUAUUGACCGACUGAGGAAGGAGGUUUUGUCGCCCUUGAGAAAAACUUGUUGGAAAUUAUAUAUUAUAAUAUGAAAUAUUGUAAUAUAUAAUUUUAAUAAUUGAAUGAAAAAUAGUGUUAACCAAUUUCUUAGAAAUGUUAUGUUGUUUAACUGAUAUUCCCUUGAUAAGUGAUGUCUAUUUAUAGAUGAAAAGUUACAUCUCUUUAAUAAGUAGAAGUUGGAUUCUAUAUAAACCCAUGAAAUCAUUGGUAUUAUAUAUAGAAAAUUAGAGUUAAUUUUUACUCUUGAGAAAUAGGGUUUCCCCAAUUUUUUUCUCUCAUGCUUCGUGUCUCAAAUUCCGAGUCGUGUCUUGAGAGUACGGAAUAUAUAAAGUUCGCCAGAGUCCGAAGAUUGAAGUGCUUUGACUUCGAAUUAUAGAUUGUUGAAUCUUGGAAGAUUGACGCCUACCGAACUACAAGCACAAUAGUAGGGACGAAAUUCUAUCUUUAGAACAUUGCAUUUAUGUAAGCCUCAAUCUCCAAGUUUGUCAGUUAUUCUAACUUUCACUCUAGUUGUUUAUAUUAAUCUCAUAUAUAAUUGAUGUUAUGAAUUUCUUUAUGAUUAUUAUCAUUGGAAUUAUAUUCCUAUUUUUCAUAUUUUCUAAUAUUGCUCCAACAAAAAUAUGACGCCAGAGGGCUGGGAACCUGCCAACCGGUGGGGUUAUAGAGCGGAGUACAAGCGAAAGCAACUAGCUGCAGCAAAUGAGAUUGAUCCUGGAGAUGCCGCGCUGCUUCCGCAUGACAUAUUAAGCUAUGUCAUGUAUCCCGAGCUCGAGCAAGAUGCUGAUGUUAAGUGGAAGAAAAUGGUGAAGGUCUACUUAAAGCAGGGGAAGCUGAAGAAUUGGUUGGCUGUGUGUGAUGUCGACAACUCCUUGUCGGCGGGUUUGGCUUUGGGGCUUUUGUUGCCUCAAUUGAGUGACGAGCUAUGAAGCAUGGAUACGGAUACGGAUACGGCGAUACGAUACGACACGACACGGCGAUACGGAAAAUCUCUAAAAAUUAAGAUACGAUACGCUAUGGAUACGGCAAAUAAAAAUCUAUAUAGCAACAAAAAUAUACAUUUUAAAACAUAAUUCAUCAUUCAAAUUCAAGUACAUUUUGAGUUGUUAGAGAAGGAAAGUUCAAAAUCUAAUCCUCUUUAUACAGUAGAAGAAGUGUGAGAAUCGUAUUCAUGGUUUUAAUUAGAGGGAAGCUCUUUGUAUUUAGCAACUUUCAAUUAUAGAUGUCUCCUAUUAAUUUUCUCCUCCUCAUUACCUUUUUUUGAAAGUGUAAAUGUAUUUUAAAAGCAGGAUACGUGUAUCCUGAAUGUAGGAUACGCAUAUCCAUUAUGUCAAAUUCGUGUCCAUCAACCAGGAUACGUGUCGGACGAGUAUCCGAGAGUAUCGGGCAAGUAUCGUAUCCGAUCAAGUAUCGGAUACGGGAUACGGGACCAAACAGAAGUAUCCGUGCAUCAUAGGUGACGAGCCAGUAAAAAGAUACUUACAAGCUUUUCAUUUAAUUUCUUCAAAGCAUCAAAGUCGAUUUUUGAACUCAGCCUCUGCAAGAAAAAAGAAUGCCAUGUAAAUAAUUGUUGGAUAAGAUAUAAGUUGCAUCAUGCUGGAGGAAUAAUACUUAAACGAAGUAUAUCCAUCAGCUAAUUCCCUUACCUCCUUGUUAUUUAUCACAGUAGAAACUUUGGCGGUUUUUUCUGCAGGUGGAGCUUUCUUGGCUUUUCUGGCUCGUUUUCUGCUCUUUCUCUGCCAAAAUUAUCCAUUGUAUGUAGAAAAUUAGAAAUCGAUAAGUAAGGCUCAAUGCUGGCAGUAAAACAAAGACAGAUAAACAAAAGGGAAAAACUAAAUAAUAAAUCAAAUGCAGAUAAGAUUAAAAAAUAUUAAAAAUGGAUACUUUAGAUGCGGUCCUUAAUCUUUAACAUUCUUUGACUAAAACCUUAAUGGUAUUCAAAGUUUGAUCAAAGUACCUUGACUUUGUACACCUCAUUAUAUUACAAUUAAUAUUUAUAUUUUUAUAGUUUUGACAUUAAUUGUUUGAUAUUUUAUGAGAUUUAUAAUCCUAUAAAUUUAAAAUCCCUCAUUAUAAUACUAUUAUAAACAGUUAUAAUAAAAAAAAUUCAAACAUUUUGAUUGAAUAAAUAGAUAAAACUAUGUAUAAAUAAUAAAUGGCAAAAGAAUGUAUCCAUAGUGUUAAAAAAAUUGGUACAUUUCACAUAUAACAAAGUGGUACAUUAAUAAAGAAGAAUGGGUACAUUAUAAAUAAAUUAGGGUACAUAUAAAAGAUUAAAAAAUUAUGAGUACAAAUGACUUUUUAAAAAAUAUAGGCGCUAAAAUAAAUUAAUACACGGGUACAAAAUAAAACUAAAAAGAAAAUACUACAAAUUUAAAAAAAAUGUUGCAAAUUAAAAGUGGGUACAACCUAAAAAUAUAAAUAUAUAAUACAAAGUUUAGGCAUAAAACAUAAAUAUACCAUAUGUAAUUUUUCUAUCAUUGAUUAAAUAUACAAUGUCACGUGACGGUAUACACAUAGGUACAAACACAAAUAAAAUUUUUAAAAAUAUGGGCACAAAAAGAAACUAAUAUAGGGUACAAAUUAAAAAUGAAAAAAUUUUUGUACAAAUUAAAAAUAGGCACAAACUAAAAAUAAAAAUAUAUGAUAAAAAAUUUAGCCAUAAAUAUAAAUAUACUAAUUGUAACAUUUUUAACACUAAAGGAAUAUAUUUAAAAAUAAAAAUAUUUUAUUAUUCAAAUAAUUAAUAAUGUUAUUAAUACCCAAUGACCUUGAUCAAAAAUUGAAAAUGAAUAAGAUUUUAAUCAAUAGAGUAACAAAAAGAAGGAUGUGAACCUAAUUUCUCCUAUUAAAAAUGUUAACCAUCACCCAAAUACUAAUUUGUAAGCAGGUGUGACACCAAUAACAGUUGAGAAUUUAGGCACAAAAUGGUGAAUAAGCUGAAUGAAUCUUCCAAGCAUACACUUUAGAGAACAAUGCACGCAUGACAGUUUGGAAACAUGCAAGGAUAAACUCAAAUAAAGUAAAUAUUGGGAUGAACCACGAGAAAUUUUUCUAAGUACCUGUCACACAAGCUGACUAGGAGUCCCUUACUAAUAAGCAACUGACACCUAUCCUUCUACUUCUCAAGUGACACUAAAAUACCCAUUUUACCCUUAUAUACAUUUCACAAAAUAAUUAAAUAAUUAAAAAAAAUUGAAGUUGUGGGGUGAGCUCCAACGCUUUCCUGCAAAUCGAAAGUACCCAUUUUUCCAUCGCCCAUCCCCAUAUCCCAUCCCUUUAUCCCUCCACGGCUUCACCAGUCCACCCAUCCUGCCCUUCCGCAUCACCUCUCUCCCUAUCUCUUUCUUUCUCUCUCUCUUCCCCUUUGUAUUUCUUCUAUUUCCUGCUCCAGAAUAAGAACAAAAAAAAUGUCGGCGAACUCCGGCUGAUAGAUCGAGAUUGGCGACAACAGAUCUGAGUUGGAGUCGCCGCCGACAAUCUCUGGGUUCCAUGUAGAGUUAAGAGCGGAAGAGAGAAGGGAAAGGAAAGAAAGAGAAGGUCGAACAGAGAGAAGGAUGAUGAUGCCAGAAAAAUCACCGACCGGUGAUGGAGGUGGGUGCGAGUGGUUCGGCGUCGUCAUGCUCGGGGGCCCCUGAUGUCAUUUUGACUUUAUUUUAAAAUAAUUGUCAAUUUUUAAAUAUAAAAGAAUAAAAUAUACAGAUGUCAAAUGCUUAUUAGUAGAAUUCCAGGUCAGCAUAUGUGACAGGUACCUGGAAAAAUUUCUCAUAAACCACAUAGCUAAGCUAGCCAUACUGAAGGGUAAGGCUAUUCCGUGAUACAAUGAAUAAAUUCAAGGUUUUGGUUAGAAGGUCCUACUUUGAAAGGAAUGAUUUUACUGCAACGAAAUGCAUAAAAAGUGCAAGCAAGACACCAGUUCCAAGAAAUGUGCUCUAUCAUAACUGAAAUUGCCUAUUUAAUGGGGCUUAAGGAUUCAAAAUUUGUUGUUUUACGUGCUUAGGAUCUUAAAAGAAGUAUUCUUCGUAGAUUAGCCAUAGUUUUAAAGAUUAGGACUAAAAACAAGUUAAAUGUCUGGAAGACAAAGGGAUUGUUGCAAAUUUCAGUUAGCAGCAUGCUUUUUGAAUUUGGGGGCUAAAAGUUUGAGAAACCAGAAAGAAAAAAAAAGGUCAAAGAUUAGGGCUUUUGAAUCAAGCACGAAAAGAGGGAGAGCACAAAAGUUCUAGAAAGAGAGAAUUGAGUUAAGAACUUCCAAAAAAUCAUUGAGCUAAAGAGUAAAGGAAGAAUGAAGAGGCAAAGAGUGGAAGGAAGAAAACCAGAAACCCAUACAAGGAAAAUGUAUACCAGUACGGUCAUGAUCAAGUGCAAAAUCCCCUCAAUCGUUCACUCUGAACAGUCAUGGCCAUAGAAAAAAAAAGACGAAAAAUAAGAACAAAACCAUCGAAUAAACAGAAACUACGAAAUUGCCUAACAUUGCACCAAAUCCUUGUGAAAACAAAUGUCAAAAUAUAAACUUGCAAAGGCAUUACCUGAUCGUAGUUCUUGUUAAGUACUUCCCAAAUUAAUCUUUUAAACCGUGCCGCCUCCUUGCUGUUAAGGUAUCCAGCAACCUAAAAAAUAGAAGCAUGAGUUCUUCCAUAUCGAAAUUCACAAACGAAAAAUAGAAGCAACAAUCACAUACGAAUCCAAAUCACUAUACGGCCUACCGAGUAGGCUAUGAUGGAAGUGUUCUCUGAUGGAGAGGUGGGUGUAUCCUUCAGGAUCUCUGCUUUUAUCUUUCAUUAAAUCCCCCCCCCCCUAAUUAUCAGACACGGAAAAUGUGGUCGACUGUCAUGAACCAAGAACGGAACUUUUCACAAUAACUAUGACAUAAAAGUCCAACAACGUAGCAUGCAAAAUUAAUUCUUAUUAUCAUCGAAUAUUUUGGGCACCAACCUUAAAUUUAUCAACUUAUGGAGAAUGGGCGGGCAGACACCAUUCCACGAAAACAAUUCAGAAAAUUGAAAAAAAAAUAAUAAGAAAGCAAUGCCUGCUUUAUCUGCAUACCUCGGAGUCGUCGAUAUCUGAGAGGCUUUCUGAGACAUCGCCAUCCGCAGUUGACAUUGCAGCUUCCCUCCUUCUUUUGUAAACUCUCGGAUCUUUUGAAUUUUAUGUAAUUUUAGGUCUUGGGUUUUCCAGUUUUCAUGGAACUAGAAUUUAUAUAGACAGUAAUGUCGGCGACCAAACAAGAACCGACCUAGUUCGGUUUCCCUUUUAGAACUGGAAUGGUGGAACCCAACCAUGCUGUUCUCAAAUCAAAUCAAAUCAAAUCAAGUUUUGGUUCUUAUUUUUUGAGUGGUGUAUGUUAGAUGUUAGAUUUGGAUCUAGUUUCUUUUUUUUACUGUUUAUUUUAAUGAAAAAAAAGGUAAUCACAGAAUAACAGUCCAAAAUCUACAGUGCUAGGCCCAAAAUAGUAUGGAAAAUAAACCAGGAAACUAGAAAAGCUCAGCUCAAUCUGAAAACCAUGUGGAUUUUUUUGGUAAACAAACCAUGUGGUAAACACAAACGGCAUGCAUUACAUUUACAUUGUAGAAACACAUUAUUAUUCCUAUUGUUGGAACCAAAUUCGAGCACAACCGUUGAUAUACGAAUAAUCAUUGGAAUCUCUUGAAUACCGAUAAAUAAGAGAAUUGUUUGAGGGAUAUAACCAAAUUCGAAAAUGAUUGCCUACAUAUUUCCUCGUCAAAGAGGGAGAAUCAAAUCGUGUAUAGUCCAUGCAUGAGUUGCAUGAGCAUGUAGAGAUGUAUUUGAGCAUUUAUGCUUUAGAUGAGAUAACAGAUAUGCGUUAUAUCUCUUUGGAUGGAAUCCUAGUAGCUUCGAUAUUUAGAGAUGAGAUCCUUCAACUCUUUGUCUUGCUUUGCAUGAAUGCUUAUGCACAUGUAAAGCAACAUAUCAAAGCCAAUAUUCUCAUGCUAUAAUCAUGCAAAUGUAAGGUGUAAAACAAUAAUUCAUUUAGCAAUCCAAACACACAAAGCGUCAUUCACGUCAAAUAAAAUGAUAAGAGUAAGAAUUAAAGUUAAGUAGGUAAAAGAUUAUCUUACCAUCAUAUUGUUCUCCUUAAAAUUUCAUUAUUUCAAUUUUAGCUCUUUCGUAUAUUUCUCCUUCCAUGUUCUUUAUUUUUAGUGUGGAUCAGAUUCAAAACCCUUUUACCCACACCUACUCACAUUUUUUUCCCCAUUAACCGACUCCCUCUCACCUUUCUUUUCAACUCUCUCCCAACCUUCCAAAACCUCUUUAUGUUCCUUCUUUUAUUCCAGUUCUUUCCCUUCCGGUAGGCUAUUCUCAUUAGGGAUGGGCAACGGUUAUUUACUCAUAACCGUUUAUACUUAUACCCGCAUAACCGUUUACCCGUUGGGUAAUUACCUAAACGAUUAUACCCAUACCCAUAACCGUUUAUAAACGGUUAAUCGUACCCAUAACCAUAUACCCAUUUAACCGUAAUCAUUUAAUACCCGUUUACCCAUUUAUCAUUUUUAACCCGUUUAUCUUUUUUUUUUUUGGUCUUUUGAUAUGAGUCCAAUUUUAUAAGCCUAUUUUGAAUGGAAUCCACUUGUAUUACAUAAGCAUAAGUGGGGGCUAGUAAGUACAACAAUAAUCCAUGUCAGCAAUUAAAAUGCACAUAAUUUACCAACAAAAUUACAACAACUGCCAUUAGAUGGUUUAUUAGGUGUCUUGCAGGUUAAACUCAUUGUUUAUUCAAAAGAUCCCAUUUAUUAGUACUCUUGCAGAUCAAACGUCCCCUUUAUCCUUAUCCUCCUAUCUUUCAAAUUUGUUUGCGUCCGUAUCCAGCGGAAACCGGGUUUUGAAUCCUAAAUCCGUAUGAAGCUAUGAAAGCUAUAAAUUUUCUCCCAGUAUAUGAUGGAAACAAAAUAGGCGAUUAUCUGGUUCGGGUUUCCUAUUAUACCUGGAGAACAGGUAGUGUAUCUUCUCGGAAGAUUUCAGCUUCGUACAUCGUAAUCUGGUUUUUUUUUUCGAAUAUUUUGAUUUGGUGAUUUGGGCUUUGUUUUUUGCAGUGUUCGUUACCUGGAUAACAGGUAUUACACUCCAUCGAUUUCAAUAUCAGUAUUUGAUAACAGGUGCUACCGUAUCUUUGCUCUAAAUUUCUUUUCUUUUCUUUUUUCACUUCAAUUGUUCGAGAUUUUAGAGUUUGACGACGAGUAUGAAUUGGUGGCCAGUGUUUACGACGCAUUAGUGAAGGCUUGCACUAGUUUGAAAUCGAUUAGGGGGGUUAAGAGGGUUUAUAAUUACAUAUUAGUAAUGGGUUUGAGUUGGAUCAGAAUACAAAAAACAGGGUGCUGCUUAUGCAUGUGAAAUGUGGGAUGAUGAUUGGUUGAAUUUGUUUCUCUAGUAUUUUGGUAUGCUGCUUUGACUUUUUACUUUUGUGGUGUUUGAUACCUAGAUUACAGGUACUAUAGUUCAUACCCUUUUUUUUUUUUGUUAAACAGUUAUGACUGUGGAGCUACUGUGAUGUAUAUUGCACAAAAAAAAGCUGAUGGAGAAUUAGUCGAAGGUGUCUCUUCGGCAGAGGCAAUGAAGAAUAUGAGAGCACAUGUCCUUUGUAGAUUCAUAAAUGAGGGAGAUGGUAGCUGGGAAAAGGAAGAGUAGGAUAAAGAUGUUAUGCGAAAUUUGAGUUUUUGUUUCAUAUAAGUGUUUCAAUUUAAUAAAUGAUGGGACUCCAAUCCAUCCGAAUUCAUUUUCUGCUAUAUAAGUUUGGAUGUUAUGUGAACUGAGAUAUGCUUUGUCAUAUCUGUUUUUUAAUUUCAAUUUCCAGUGAAAGGGGAUAUUCUUCAUAUUUUCCUUUAUUGAUUUCACAAUAAGAUUUGUUUGUAAUCUCAGAUAAUGUUAUUUUGUCAUUAUCUGGACAUACUUCGUCUGGUGUCAUUUCAAAUUGUACAAGGAUAGGUACUUUCAAAGUGUUGAUAAAACAUGGUUGUCAGUAAUUUUCCUACAUGUUAGGUAGUUUAAAACCGUUUGAAAAAGUAAUGUACCUGUACAACUAAUUGUGUCUUGAAAAAUAAUAUUCUACAAGGAUAGGUAGUUUAAAACCGUUUGAAAAAGUAAUGUACCUGUACAACUAAUUGUUAUCAAGAAAUCAGGAAGAAAGAUGAACUGAAUAAUGAAUUUGAAUUCUGAUAAAAAUUUAAAACGUGGGAAAUAUAUGGAGAACGUGCAAAAGUCAUAGGAGGGUAAAAUAGUAAUAAUAAUGCAAAAAAAUCAACUUAAUCAGAAAAAUUGCUGACAUGGAAUCCUAGUCAUUGGAGCUAAGUCAAAAGUAACUAAAAAUUGGACUAAUUCUAAUGUUGGGCUAUAAAAUUGGACUGAUUUCAAGUUUCCCCUUUUUUUUUACUAUUACUCCUUUUUCAUCCAUCUACAUAUUUUUUAACAACUUGAAAAUUAAAAAAAAAUUGUCAUAAUUUUUUUUUUUUGACAAUUAAACACCGUUAUAGGUACAUUCAUCAUACAUUUCCAUAUUUUAAUUUUUUAAGUCCUUAUACCAUUCCAAUAAUUAAAAUAAUAGUUUAUGGACGAUAUUUUUAACUGUUACCAAGGAAGGUAAAUAUAAUAUUUGCUAAGUAUUAUUGGGUUACAAAAAUUGGUUAGAAGAUAUUUAUGUCAAAGUAUUUCUGUCAAUUUCACGGUUACCCGCAAGGAAUUUAAAUUAAUUUGGCAAAUUCCUUGAUGAUGAGAAUCAUCAUUCCUGUAGCAGUGCUAUUGAGAGAAUGACCGAUGAAUUCCUUACUAAUUUAUUGGGUGCUAAGUAUUAUUAGAUCUAAAACAUGGUUUGUGUUAGUUUUACAUAUAUAAAAUAAAUGGGUAAACGGUUAUCCGUUUAUAACCGCGGUUAAUACCCAUAACCGCCCAUUUAAAUUUCGCGGGCCAUAACCGUUUAUUUAUCUAAACGGUUACCUAUAACCAUAACCGUUUAAUUUAAAUGGACGGGUAACCGCGAUUACCCAUAAUCAAUGGGUAUUUGCCCAUAUGUAAUUCUCACACCUUCACUUCCCACAAACACCCCCUUCUUUCUCUUAUCACAGAAUCACAGAUGACAAAUUACAAAACAACACUCUUCUCUCUCUCUCUCUCUCUCUCUCUCAGUUGUUUUCAUUUUUAUUCACUUGUUGCUCACACUCUUUUCUUUUCUUUUCCUUGCCUCUCACAACUCCCUCGACACCUCUCUCUCUUUCCUUCUUUUAUGCUUUUCUUCAACCCCUUAUCUUCUAUAAUAUAGCUGAAAAUUUGCAUUUGUAACAGGAGUAGAAUUGGUUAGCAACAUAAAAUGGAGAUGUAGGCCAAAGAGGCUGGCUGAGAAGGCCAGCUCAACCGUAUAUAAGCUGCUCAAACUGAUGUAUAGGCCAACAUACAGAUUAGGUUGUCGAGAUGUUUGGAUAUUUUAUAGAAGAGAUGAUAAGGAACAAUUUUUGUGAAAGAAGUGUUUUUGUUUGAUCACAGUAAAUUGGAUUUUUAAGCUCCAAACAUGACUCUAAGGUUUUCUGCAGAUUUUCAAGGCUGUCAUGGUAUUUUGAUAAUCUGGAAUGAAUGGACAGUUAGAUCUUUCUGAGACUUUGAUAUGUUAAGAUAGAGAGAAUAAGGAACAAUUUCUAUGAAGAAAGUAUUUUUGAUAUGAGCAAGAGAAAAUGUAGUUUCGAAGCUCACAACAGGCCUGACUGGUUGAUUGAUGAGUGCUGAGCAGUCACUGAUUAUACCUGAGUUUCUGCAGUUAUACAGCUCCUAUGGAUCUCAUAUUUGGAUAUGUUGUAUAUAACGAGUUAACAAACAACUUUCUUGAAGACGGCUUUUUGAUUUGAACUAUAGAAAAUGGUAAUUUGAUCUGCAAAACAGAUAUGACGAAUUUCUGGUUCUUGAAAUUCUUUCUCUUGAUAACUAGAAGAAGAGAGAUUUGUUGGUUAAGCUCUUAUGCAUUUUCUGGGAUUUGUAUGUGAUUUCUUUCUCAGGAUUCUCGUUGAAAAAUAGAGGGAUAUUUGGUGGUGCUUCACGGAGUUGGAUAAUGGUGUUUCACUAGAACUUGAUAACACAUUCACAUAAACACACAGUAUUGGAGUGGUUCGGCAAAGUGACUACAUACAUUGGGGUUUGCUUUCAUUUGUAUUUCACUAUAUAUGAGAGACUUACAAAUACAAUGAAAGAUGACUUAAAGCGUUUACAUAAGGUAAAAGAAAUGGAUGAUGAAAUAGGAAUGGUCUGAGAAAGAGAACAUUCUUUUUGCUAGUGUGUUCUUGCUGGUGUGGUGUUCUCCCUUUUUUUCCUCAUGUCCUUCUUCUAGUUCUUGCCCCUUCCUUUAUAGGGAUCAUAUGAGAUCUUCCUUCUCACAACAUGUACAAUCUAACUUGAGGAUAAAAGCUCCCUAGUGUCCCAAUAGAAAGACACCAAGUAUUGUGCACAUUAUUAGCCAUAAUAUGUGUUCGAAUAGCAAGACAAUUGUGUUAAACUAAUCAUUAAUAAUGAUAUGUGUUCCAAUAACAAAACAACAUGUGUUGAGCUAAUCAUGAACAAAAAAAUAUCAUGUAAGAUGGAUGCAUGUCUAAGGCCACUUACGUUAAAGUUUAUCUUAUGGUAAACUUGUUGUAACAAAACAUAUGGUAACUCUACAAAUUGGUAGGAUAUCCAGAUGAAUCGAUGAUGGUGAAUUAAAAGCUCCAAAACCCAUUGUUAUAAUCACACCUCAAACUAAAACCAAAAGAGUAGCAAAGUAUUUAGUUGCUAGUGGGACGCAAAUGAGAAAUACAAAGCCUAACAAAUCAAUCUACAAAUAAAGUGAAACAUAUAUGUAUUUGUUAACUAUUGAAAAAAAAGAACUUGGUAAAUCAAACUUUAGCGCAAAACACAAAUUAAAAGUACUUUGACACUUAUAUAUAUAUAUAUAUAUAUAUAUAUAUCCACUUUUUAAAAUACAGAGUAUUACACUUGUUUAAGUCCUUUCACGAUCUAGCUUAACAUACACGACAUUGUUCUCCUUUUAACUCCAAACAUGAACUUUCCCUUCCUAAAAACUUAGGCUUCAAAUCAUUUCAAUUGUUGCCUAAUUUUUUAGGGAGGAAAACUCAUAUUUGGAUCCAAAAGUAGAAAAUGUUAUGGAUGUUAGACCUGAAUCGUGAAAAGAUCGUAACUCUAUAACAAAUAUACUUUUGAUUUUGAAUUUGUUUUUGUAUUGCAUAUGGUUCAAUAUUAUUAAGUUUCCACCCAGGUGUCCCAGCUUCGGAAUUCUCCCCUUAUAAGUUAUUUAAAAAAAGGUAACAAAUUGAAAUUUGAAUAAAAGUUAAGGUGACAAAUAAAAAAUUUGCCUUUUCUUCUCUAUUCUGCAACUAGACCAUCAACAUCAAGGCUCAAUUUAUAGGAUUUGGAUCCUCUUUUGAGCAAAGGAGACGGAGCCUCCUAACCCAAAUACACAGACCGUUAGAUUUUGAUCAAACGACUACAAUUAUUUUAACUUUUAGAAAGGCCUCCUAUUUGUAACCGUUUGAUCAAAAUUCAACAGUCCGUGUCUUUAGGUCAUGAGGAUUCGUCUCCCUUACUCAGGAGAGGAUCCAAAUCCCAAUUUAUAGACCCAAAAAGGCCUUAUUAAAUUAUUUGAAUUCCCUGAACACAUUCUUAAAUUUUAGUGGUGGGAUCUUCAUCCAGUGGUGGUGGUUCAUGAACAUAUCUAUUAACCUUUUGUAUGAAUAAGUAGAAUAUACAUCCAUCUGCUAAGAUAUAUUCAAAUCUGGCAUGCCAGUCCCCUGCCCACUACCAAAAGCCAGAGCUAAAGUAUAAUUAUAAUUAAUUAUUAAAAUGUGUUAUAUAAAAGGAAAGGGUCCAAAACAAGUACAAGGGUGCACAAAGGGAUAAAAGGAGCAUGCAGAAAUCAUUUCCUAAUAUUUAUCACCUUCCUUUUCCUCUAAUGCCAGCGAGCAGUGAUUGAGUGACGUUUACAGGAGAAGAUGCAGGGUCAAUCCAGGAAGUGUUAGCACCACUUGCAUUGCUGCCUCCUGGCUGAUAGUUGAGGCGAACAUUACUAUCCCUGGAUGCAGUUGAUGGGGUAUCAUCCUCCACCAAAAAUCUACCUGUUGGCAAUGUUGUUACAUCUUUAAAAUCAUAAUCUGUCAAAUAGCUUGGCUUCAACAUGAUAGUGCCUAUGUCAAUGUCUCCAGAGAGCAUUGCAACCACGCGUGACAUAGAUGGCCUUGCCAUCGGUGAUCCCUGCGUGCACAGGAGAGCUGCUCUUAUCAAUCUAGUUGCUUCAGUUUCAUCAAACUCUGUCAAUCUUGGAUCCACCAGCCCCAGAGUUUGGUCAUUUUCAUGUAGAGUCCAUACCUGAAAAACAUUAUGCCACGGUCAAAGGAAAGUAUUAAGUUUUUCACAACACUUCCAAAAUGAAGCUAGGGGGAUGCAAUUCCUACCCAUUCAAGAAGAUAAAUCUUUUUUGGAUCCAAGUUAUUGUAAGAGUUUGGUCUCCCGCUAAGGAUCUCCAAAACAACGACUCCAAAACCAACACAUCGGCCUUCUCUGUCAAAUGUCCAAACAAUGCAUACUCCGGUGCCAAAUAGCCUCUGCAAUGCAAGAUAAUAAAAUGGUUGCACAAUGUUGCUUGAGAUCAUUAGAGGCAUUAUUAACAUGUGUUCAAAUUUCAUGCAAGUAUAAAUGUGUGUGGCCAUAAUAUAUGUAUCCUCUAGAAAAACAAUAAAGGAUGGCUAACAUUGUCCCUGCAACCCGGGUGCUGAUGUGGGUUUUCUCGUCAUCAUAAAGCUUUGCCAGUCCAAAAUCUGAUAUUUUUUGGGAGAGUUCUGCAUCGAGCAAAAUAUUACUCGCUUUGACAUCGCGAUGUACAAUCCUUGGCCUUGACUCCUCAUGAAGGUAAGCAAGUCCUCUUGCUGUUCCCAACAAUAUAUUGAAUCGAGUCGGCCAGUCAAGGUGCAAGUUACUUGUUCCUGAAAUAUUAGUGAACACAUCCAAUCAAAAACAUUUCUUAACAAUUUUAGAGUGCUUGAAACUGCAGACAAUGUUGUUUCUAUGCAACCUAAAAGUAGAUAGGUUUGUACCAAAAAGUGCUUGAUCAAGGCUCUUGUUUUCAAGAUACUCAUAAACCAAAAUGCGUUGGCUGCCUUCAAUGCAGCAUCCAUACAAUUUCACUAGAUUCCGAUGUUGCACAGCAGAUAUGGUAGAAAUUUCUGAUACAAAUUGACUCUUCCCUUGGUGAGAUGCUACUGAAAGUUGCUUCACAGCCACUACUCUCCCAUCAGAAAGUGUACCCUAUAAUGUACACAGAAACACAAUUUAGUGACAUGAAAGGAAAGAAAAAAGAAGCUUUAUUUUCUUCUCUCGCUCGCUUUCCCUUUCUCGUCAUUACUUCAAGUACAUGAUACUGAUGUAAUACGGAUUUCACCUUGUAAACAGGGCCAUAUCCUCCUUCUCCUAACUUAUUUGAAGGAUUAAAAUCUUCGGUUGCAACUCUCAACUCAGAAUAACUAAAAGUAUUUGGUCGAGGGCCUAAUCCUAGAAUAUCUGCACAUUCACGAAACAGUGUGACAUAAGUUUUACUUUUGUAAAAGCAUUCCUACUUCUGUGUGUUAAUGUCAAAGCAGAGAAACCUGAAUUGGAUACCACUAAUAAUAUGGUCGUUUACCUUCGUCAUCCUCUUUUUCUGAUUUUUUCCUCCUCAUAUAUAGAAUCGCAAAUAUUAAUAGCAAGCUCACAACUCCAACAGGAACUGCAAUACCAACUAUCAACCCAGUCCUGCUCUUCUUUCCUGGGGUAGUUGGUGGAAGCCCGGAAACUGUUGGUGUAAAAUCUGAGUGAUAAAACAGACGAAUUCUUCAGUGUCGAUUAACAGUAGAAAAAUAUAUUUAAACCAUUCACAAGAAAUCUCUACUAGUUAACACAAAUUAUACCUGAAGCAGCAUGGACAGCUGCUAUUAGUGAGCCGUAAUCACCUUGAUUGGGUAUGCAACAAGUCCCUUUACCAGCCCAGAACAGAUGAAUUUCAAGAUAAUUCUCUGACACGCUAACAUUGAAUCUUUUCAUAAUUCCUAGGUUAACCCCACCUGCCUCCUUGGAUAUGUCAAAGUCCUGCAUCCUGCAGAUACCCUAGCAACCAAAUGAAGAGCUAGGUCAUAAUUCUAGUCUCCUUUAAAUCAUGGAAGACUUUGGAUGCAGUCCAUAACUACCAAUGUUUUUUGACUGAAACCUUGAUAGUUUUUUGUUUUUUAUUAAAGUAGCUUAAACUAUCGAAAACCUGUCCAAUGAGUCUUUACUUCAAAUAAGAUAGAUUUUUUUUUUCCAUAAGCAGCCAUACCUGAAUAUAGAUGUCAAAUACACGCCGUCCUAGACUUUCCCAAGUUUGCUGAAUGCGCCUAUCAAAAACCGUCUCUGCAAAGUGCAAUGUUACAGUGUAAGGUCCAUUCUCAAGACCCAGGCCAUAGUAUCUCAGUGAUCCUGGGGACAAUCUUGAAGUCUGGAAAAGCUCUGGGGUCACAUCUGUUCCGGUGACUUGUGCAAGGGUAUUUUCCAGAAACGAUCGGUUCACUCCGUCAGAAAACAUACCGACAUUGCUGACAGCCCAUUUCUCUGUACUGGUUACAUUGAAUGUUGCUGGACCAAGAGCUGAGUCUUCGGCCUCAUACGAUAUGCCAUCACGUCCCUUCAUUUCCGGUCCACCACAGUUGAUUGAGAAGUUUGCAUCUGUAAGUUUCAUGUAAUACCAGAAUCUACCCAUGAUUAGCGAUGAAACUUCAAAUUGAAGACUCGUACUAAUGUUUUUCAGUCACAUAUUUGUGACCAGAGAAGCAAUCUAUAUCCAUAUGUAUACAUAACCAGAGAAGCAAUGCCUUCUCCUCUAACAUGACGUUGCGUUAAAACAGUAAAUGUUGGGUGACAUAAAAGCAGAUUACAUCGUGGGGCAUUUCGAUUGCAUGGAAAUUUUUUCUGGAGGCAAUUCAAUCCAGGAAGAGUAAUGCAAACACAGAGAACAAUUAUUAGUUAUCCAGAUAGAAACAUAUAGUGGAAGAGUAGUGAUAGUAUUGCUUGUCUAAAAACCGGCAACAGAAACUUCAACUCACGUUAUGUUUUUUUUGUCAAAUGUGAAGUUGUUGACCACUAAGUUCCUGCAUAAAAUCAUUAAUCAAUCAACAUGUGAAGAAAUAUAUCUCUGUCAAAUGAAAAUUCCAUGUACUCUCAAAACUUAAUAGGCAAGUAGCACUGUGAGAACGAAUCGCAGUGAUAUUUUUUGUCCCAACAUAUUCUGGGGAUUUAAACUGUAAAAUGAAGGUGAAAGAUAAAAGGUGAUGUACAGUUGCGAUAUUGUGGUCACCCACUGGGGAAAGCUACCUGAUAAAAAAUUGUAAGACAAAUCUCUGCAAAUAACAAAAUAGAAUCAUAAGACACAAAAUACAUGAAAGUUAUAAGAACUUGUGUAAGAUAAAGGAUUAGAAUGCUUAAAAAAUGCACAAACACAUACAUGCACGUGCAGACGCACGUACAAAGUACUGGUUUCAGUGUCAAUAGACUCAGUACAUUCUAUAUGACUACUUUUAAUACAUGAGGACUUACAUAGUUUGAAGUCGAUUGCUCUUUUGGCUCGGAAGAGGUCCGGACAGACUAUUGUUUCCAAGAAACCUGGCCAUUUCGAUUAUAGUAGAAGGCACCCAGAAAAGAAAAAGAGAUGAGCAAGAAAAAAGUCAGAUGUGCACAAAAUCUAGAAGGAUUAGUCCAGAUCUUCAAUCAAAGUAGGGAAUGUUAAAGAUUUGAUAACUUAUGUAGGCAAGCAAAAUAUAAUACUAAGGAUGGGGAUUACAAGGAUGUAAGAGAACUCAAGGUGAACAAAGAACUUGGGAGUUGGCCUAUCAAAUUGUUGAAACUCAGAUCCCUGCAACACCAACGAUAAGUUGAGAGGAGCAAUCAGAAUGAAAGAAAACUAAUUGGCCUCGUUGGGACUCAAGCUUAUAUGCGCUGGUACGUACAGUAUCUGUAGACUUUGAUAUUCUCCAAUAUCAGAUGGGAUGGUACCAGUGAUUAAUGCAUUUCGUAGUUUUCUGUUAUUCACAUCAAAUUUGAUAAAAAGUAGAUGGAGUAAGAUAUCAAAAGGAAAAAGGAAAAAGUUGGAUGAAAGUAUAUGGAUUAUGGAUCGACAAGAAUCUUCACUUACAAUUCAGUCAAGUUCUUCAUUUUUUUAAUGAAAUCAAGAGAGGAGCUCCCAUCGUAUAUAUCACUGAUAUGCCUACAUCAUUAUAUGCAAAAUAACUGAAAUCCCGUCUUCGGAGAAAGAGAAAGAAUUACAAUUUAUGAAGCAUUUGUACUUACAGAGAGUUCAAUGAGGUCAGCUGAGAAAAGCUGGUUGGUAUUGGGCCUUCCAAAGAGUUCCCUUGAAAUCACCUACGGAAACAUAUAAGAAGCUUGUGAACAAAUUAUCCAUCUCAGGUCUGCUUUCAUAAACUGCAUAAGAUCAAAAUUUUAUGUGGCUUACAAAGAAGUGAGUUGUGUCCAAUUCCCUAUGAAAUCAGGUAUCUUUCCUGAGAAAAGACUGUCCGUUGCCCAACUAAAAUUCAAAAAGUUGACUUAUAAUAAGCUCAUCCAAGAAAAGCAAUCUCAUAGUACUAGAUAAACGAACAAAUCUAAAAUACGAUUUAAGAGCCGUUCUUACAAGAUUUGCAUACUGGUGAGCUUGGCAAAUGUUGAAGGAAUUUCACCACUGAGUCCACAGCUGUCCAUGUAACUGUGAAAAUCUUAAGGCAACUGAUUAAUACCCAAUUUAUACAAUAAGGUGCAAUUUUUGCUUAUGCAUAAGGAACUAACAUGUAAUUCAAAUUUGAUGAUUUAACGAACCACUUACAUUUGCUGGAGCUUGACUAAAUUACCAAGUUCUGGAGGGAGUGUUCCGGAGAAAUUAUUUGAUCCGAUGGCCCUGCAAGUCAUGUUGAACAGGCAAACAAUUACUUGAAAGCAAUUAUUGAAGAGUGAUAGAAGGUUCUGUAUGUAAUGUUUAUGACACAAAAUUUUACUGUAGGCUUUCUCAUUUUUCAUGGCUUACAGCAUAUUUAGCUCCGUAAGGUUUCCAAGCUCCUUGGGGAUGGGCCCAGAGAAUGAAUUGUGGCCAAUUGACCUGAAUGGAGAUAUCAGUUAACUAAAGAUAAGCACCAUUACAUUACAAGAAACUAGGACUGCAUUAUUCAAUAAAAACAUAAUGGUUUUGUGUAGAUUACGGGGUACAUAAUAGAGAAAAUAUAUAAAGAACAUAACUGUAGAUUAUGAUAUUCAAAAUGAAGUAUACAAAUUGCGACGAGUCUCAUCAGAAGUAUGAGUACUUAAACAAAUUUUCUCUCACUACUUACAAUAUAAUCAAUGCAGACAUAUUGCCAAUGAAUCCCGGUAGGGGACCUUUGAAAUAAUUCAUAUCAAUUUUCCUACAAAAAUUGAAACGAAAUGUAAUCAUUAACCCUUAAUCUUACGACAUCACUAUAUUUUUAAUUUCCAAUUGAUAAUUUUGAUGAACCAAAAACAGAGAAGGGAAUUGGAAAAAAUUCAUACAAAACUGCGAGAUAUCUUAGAUCCAAAAAUUCUUCUGGAAACACCCCUCGUUUGUACAGAGCAUGCACUCUCCUGGAAAGCAAAAAGAUUGAACAUUUAGAACUUUAUAAAAUGGAGUGGCACAGUCAAAUUAUUGACUAAUAUAUAUAGGUAUAGCUAGCGAAAAAUCAGCAUUGGCAUAGAAAUCUUGUUCAUAAAGAGAGAGUAGUUUAACAUACAGUUUGGUGAUGUGGCAUGUAGUAUCGUUGUCAUAAGUACAGUCGCAAGCGAUGGCUGGGUUGUUAUCGGGGAUCUCAAAUUCGGUGCCGUUGAUGGCAGAUCCACUGCAGGGUUCUCCACUGGUAUUCCACAGUCCCGACACUGCUUGUGUGUCCCAUUGUUCAAAUAUUGAGUUCAACGCCCUCACUGCACACUCAGUUAAUUCAGUCCUUGUGUGUAUUAGAUUAUAUCACACCAUAAUUUGACUUGUGUUACCACUUACCAGACUAUCUCGAAUCAAAUGAGAGAUCAAAUUGAUUAUUACAAAGGAAAAUGUGGCAAAGUGUGUGUGUAGGGGGGGAGAGAGAGAGAGAGAGAGAGAGAGAGAGAGAGAGAACCUUCAGAUGGAUCAGUGGUAGCAUUUUUAGCAAAGGACAGCUGAAACCAGAAGCGGCUGAGGAAGCAGAGUAAUAGUAUCCUCAUCAUCAACUUCAUCUUCAUAUUGUAAAUGUGCAGAACUUGCUCUCCUCGACGGCGUGAAACUAAACGGCCAACCCUUAUAUUCCGACUGGCUGAAUCUUGCAUGUAAAAAGAAGACCAUAAGGCCUCGUUUGGCAGCUCAGACUGUACUGACUAUUUCAGUCGGAUAGGAUAAAUAAUCAUCGGAUAGUACUGAAUAAUUAGUCGGGCAUUUGGUGCUUUCCCGGAUAAAUCUGUACAUCGAAUAAUAUAUCGGAUUACAAUAAAUUUCUAAAAAAAAAAAAUCACCGAAUAACUAAUGUUAAAAUGGAAAAAAGGACCAAAGAAAAAAAUCCUCAUUGCACCGACAAAUUAAAAAACAAAACAUAAAAAAGGAAGGAAAGAAACCCAGGUUUCUCUCAUAGUUGUGUUAUCCUUUCUUCAUCAUCAUCCCCGCACAUCAAAUCUCACUCUCUCUGCCGAACCCAUUUCCUUAUUUCUUAAUCUCCCAAGACCCAAAUGGAUUCUCCGCACCAAAAUCAAUUUGUAAGAAAUAGACAAAUCAGCCAAUUUCAUAAGAGAGGGAAUAGAGAGCAAACAGAGAAAGGGAGCGGAAAAAAGGACGAAGAAGAAUGAAGGAUAACAUAUGAAUUUGAGAGGAAGAAGAAGAACAAGAACAACAUAUGGAGUUCGUUCUGGAUAGAGGAGAGAACGGAGAAGGCACAAAUUUAUUUGAGAGUGAAGAGACAACGCGAUUAAAUUUUCCUGGGCUUUUGAGUUUUGAACCUGUUAAAUUAUCCUUAGCUUUUGGAGUGUAUUAUUUAGCAGGUGUGAGCCGGACUAAAAAGUGGGCCCGGGAUAUAUAAUCGGCCGGCUAAUUAAUUCAAAACUGCACCAAACACCUGUCUCGCACUAUUAAUCCUAUCCGGAGUCUAAUACGGUGUCCCAAACGAGGCCUAAGAUUUUAGUCAUAUAUUGACAACGUGUGCGUAUAUACUUAAAUUUUGUCCAAGUUGUAGAUCAAUGGCGGCCAACACCUUUUUAAAUUUCCCACUUGGAGUUGGCUAAGGCUUUGAUCGUAUUAGUUGAAUUGUAUAUUGUCGUAUUAGACAUUGAGCUGCUUUAGUGUGGAAAUAUUUAUGUACAAUUCUAGAUUGUUAAUACUUUUCUGGUUGAAAAUAUCAAGGGAUUUAUGUACAAUUCUAGAUUGUUAAUACUUUUCUGGUGGAAAAUAUCAAAGGAUUGACUUACGGAUCAACAUUCUGACUCGGUCCACUACUAAUUAUGGAGAGGGAUUUUUAUCCAUAGCGAAAGAACAAAGGAUUAAUUCCCUGUUAGUUGGUGAUUUUGAUAUGACAUCUAACGAGGAUGUCAUCAUGACAAUAUCUUAAACUAAUCACAUUAUUAUGUAUAACAAAAUUGAAUUGUAACUUUGGUCUAAAAUGGGCGACUCUAAGCAAACAAGGAUUCCUGCUUUGGAAGGAUGGGAAAAGAACGUUCAUUAUAAGCAAAAAGACUGUUUUCACGACUCGAACCUGUAACAUUUCGGUCACAAAGAAGCAAAUUUUGCAUUGCACCAAAGCUCGCCCUGAAUUGUAGCUUUAGUCAAUAAUCUAAAAUUUUAUUAUAGCUAUACAUGUAUUCGACAAAAUAUGAAACACUGGUUAUUGACGCUAAUUCUAUGAGAAUUUUUAUUAAAAGGAGCAUACAUGCAAUUCUCUAAUUUACUCUUCUUAAAGGUAUUCCUCGGAAUUUUGGCCAAAAUUCUUAGCGCGAUAGACUAAUGCUUAACAUAUGUCAAACUUAAAUACUAUCUCUAAUAGAUCUUUAAUUUGCAUACUAAAACUACAAUCAAGUCAUAAUUCACAAAUUAGUCUAGUACAUUAAUUUCCUCCUUUUCAAUGUUAGGUAAAAAAAAAUACUGUUCAUAUCAAAGACUCAUACUCAUCCUCGCAAUCGUAUCAAUAAGUUCAUCUCUCUUAGCAUAAAAUAAAAUUGACAGGUUUUAUCAACCAGUUAUACGCAUUGGUUGGGAAAGGCAAGGGAGACACAUAUACUGCCUAAGUGGAAUCCGGAUCCUCACAGAGAUCUAUAAAUCGUGUUUGUUUAGCGUACUUCAUGUGGUCAAAAAUUAUUUUUAAUUUUUUAUUUAAAAUGAAAUACAUACAGCAUUUGACGAAAUUUAAUCAUAUAACGUACGAUAAACAGAUAUAAUUCACAUAUCUUCAAGAACCUCACGAGAAUCCAAAGAAUCAUGUUAGGCCUAAGUGGCCUUUGGUGUAUGACACGUAGGUUGCACAUGCAACGCGAUCAACUUGCGGAUCAACUUGCGGUCAGAGUUGACGAGUCUUCCAAAAUGUUCAAUAAGUUUUUUUUGGUAAAAAAAAAAAGUUCAAUAAGUUUAUUCAUGGAUAAGACAUUAUAUAAGGGAUUAAUCUCAAUUUAUUAUUAUAAAGUUUUAUGAUUUUUAAUAUUUGUUAUAUUAAAUUUUUUUUAUCCUAAAAUCAUACCUACUAAUUUCAUACUUCCGUUAAACUGAUUGUUAAGUCAUGUCAACAAUAUGUUACGCAUCAUUAAAGUCCACGUGAAUGUUAAAAAAAAUUAAAAACUAAAAAAUUAAAAAACUAAGAAAAAAAAAAAUUGAGCGAUGAUGCAGCCUGCUGGUAUCUUUCUUUCUCUUCUCUCCCUCAAAUCUCAUAUACCCAGCAACCCUUGCCCUCGCGACCUCGUAACCGUCGCCCUUCGUCUCGCUGCCACUAGCAAUGGGUGGGCGGAGAUCGAUUCGGCCACCAACGGAGGAAUUGAAAGGGAAAAUAAAGCGUGACCGAUGAUAAGCCUAUCGAUCCGAUUUGCUCCGAAGAAUUAGAAUUCUUUGUCCAUGGAGUUUGCCCAUUUUACUUUUUCCAAAUCCAAUUUCCAUCGUGCGUUUUCCUUUGCCCUUCAAAAAAAUUGCAGAAAUUUGGGAACGAAGGUGAAGGCAGAGAAAUCCCGCUCAUCUCUUCACUCCAAGGCCAAAUCCCACUCAUUAGAUUUUCAUCUCUUCUACCUUAAUCCAAGCCGCGGUGGAGCUGGGCAAAGCCGAAGGCAUGCCAGACUCACCAGUCCAGAUCCCAACCAUUUAUUUUCUGCCUGAACCACCCAGCCAACCCCGAACCACCAGGACCCGCACAUGUUGCUGCUCGACCCGUCGCAAGCUCGCGCCUGCCUGACCACCCGCCAGAACCACAAAAGUUGCACCUCCGUCGCACCCAGAUCGGCAGAAGAACUAAUUGCAGAAGAGUGAAAAAGGGACGGGGGAGAGGAAGCAACUAUCCCCACCUUUUUCUAUUUUUUUUUUUUUUAAUGUUUCUUAAAUUUAUUAAUUUUUUAAGUUUUUUAAAUGGGAAAAUUAGAAUCCCCUACAACUUUUUUAUAUCUUUUAGACUAAACAUUUGUGCCUUUUCAAAAUUUGAUUAAAGUGCUUUGACCAAUAGACACCUCACAAUUUUCUGUUAAAUUAAAUUACAUAUCAUUAUUGUAUUUUCUUAAAAUAAAAUGUUAAUUAUUAAUUUCUAAAUUAUCCUCUUAUGUUUUUAUGCGUUUUUCCCCUUAUUUAGUGGAGUAUUAGUUAUUAACUCUAUUAUCCCUUUUUCCAAUUAUAAUUUUUUGAUCAAAAUAAUUUUUUUGUUCUACAAACAUUAAUAUUAUCUAUUUUUGUCAAAUGGUUGGCGAUCCAACAAAGCACUGUGUAAUUUUUCCCCUUUUUUUUGUCAAACUAUUUUUCUUUGUUUUUUAUUUUUAUUUUUUUUAUUUUUACUUAUAGUUGUUGACAAACUAUUAUUAGGUACAACAUAUUAUGUGUAUACUGCCGUUAGGUACGUUUUAAUUUGUAAAAAACAUUGAUUGGUACGUUUAUUUGCAGUUUUGGUACGUUUGAUUUGGUACAUAUUGUUGAUAUUGGUACAUUACUUUUGAUUUUGGUACGUUUGAUUUCAUACACUUUAUUUAUUGGUACGUUUAUAUUGUUGUUAGUCCUAUUUUCUCUUAAUGUAUUGAUAUAAAAAAUUAUAUUGGUACAUUUGAUUUCGUGAGAUUUAAAAAUAUUUUCAACCCUUUUGGGAAUAAAAUAUUAAAUCGUAGAAAUCAUUGCUAAAUUGUAGGAAGUAUUGUGAAAAUAAAUUGUAUUUAACUAGGGUUUUUUUGUUUACAAUUAUCUCCAAAGGGGGAGAAGGUAAUCAAAAUGCUUGAUUAUAGGAAGUUUGUUCAAUACGCUGUGCACUUUUUUGGCGUGAGAUUAAGAAAUAUGGAGUAGUGGCAGGUCAUGUAAUUUUGGUAUAAAAAAUGAUUAAUUCUAAUAUAUGUGGCAACAAAAUGAUGAGAACAAGAGUUUAAUCAAAUCUCUAAAAGGCAUAGAUGUUUAGUAUAUAAAAUUCAAAAAUAAGGCACCUAUAUCAAAACAUCUCUUUUUAAAUUUUAAUUUUUUUGUAAUUUUCACGUAGAUCUUUAAUGACACUUCGAUCAUUGUUCACAUGAGCAUAACGUUAUCAGUUAACAGAUGACAUAAACAACUUCACGAAUGUAUAAGAUUAUCUGAAAAUUAAGACUUGAUGUAUGACUCUGAAAUAAAAAAAUAUUUAUAUAUCAAAUAUUGAAAAUUACGAAAUUUUAAGUUAAUAAACUGAGAUGAAUCUUUAUAUAAAAUAUGCAAAUAAUUAUUAGAUAUUGGCAAACCACAGCAAUUUUUUUUUUUUUUUAAGCAAGCAAAUGGACUGGGAAAUAUACUGCUUUCGAAUGCAUCUGUUGAUCACAGUUAAGGAUGAACUUUAACAUUUCAAAAGAGAGAGCCAGCUAGCUAGCAGUUGAUCUCCUGUAUUUUAUAGGUGUAUAUCAUAUGGAGAGAGAGAGAGAGAGAGAGAGCCGACCUGCUGUUGAAGCAGAAGGGAGGAGCUGAAGCAGAAGCAAUCAAAAAACUGGAAGGAAGAGAUCAGAGAAUCAGAGAUGGCGGCUGCUUCGCCCACUAGUUCUGAAAUUCAUCCCGUCUCUCUCCUCUCUCUUUUUCCUACUAAGAGCCAAUGAGAAUGAAGAGGAUAAUUCCCACCGUGGCACCGUGGGAGUAGUGUACAUACAUAUGGACCUGGAUUGUUUGCCUUUCUAUCAUUUUCUAUUUUUGUGAUCACGGUUAAGCCACGUUAACAUUUUAUAUUAAUUUUUUUAUAGAAAUAAUAAACCACGUUAAUAUUUUAUAUUAAUUUUUUUUUAUAGAAAUAAUAAGACAAAAAACAAUGAAAAUAUAAAAUGCUAACAUGGCUUAACAGUGAUCACAAAAAUAUGAGAGAAUAAGAAUAGUAUGGAAUGAGGAGGGCAAACAAUCCAGGUCCCAUAUAUAUAUAUAUAUAUAUAUAUAUAUAUAAUGGUAUAAUCAAAGUUCUAAAAAACGUUAGACGCUAGUCAGGUUGUGGGAUGGCGCCUAGCGCCUAAGCGGCUAGGCAAGCGCCUAGACGGUCUAGGCGGAUUUAGGUAAAUUUCUUAUAUUUUAUAUAAAUUAAUUAAACUUACUAUAUCAGGUGUAAAUAAUUAUUGAAUAAUAUAUUAUUUCUUAUAGAAGAACAUACAUAUGUGAAUGUUUUAUGUACAUAUAUAAUAUGCUUGCCUAGGGAAAAAAAUACAAAAUAAUAUCUAAAUUAACAUUUAUAUACAUAUAAUAUAGAUAUACACCCCAAACUUUUAAAAUAUAAAAACCCACACAAGUGGGUGGUUUUCAUGAUAAAACCAUCUGACCCUUUAUAAUAUAUAACUUUUAAAAAUAUCAAAAGCUCACGCAAGUGGGGUGGUUUUCAUGAUUACAACUUGACUUGUAAACGGAUCGGGUUUAUUGAGUUUGGAUCGGAUUUAACCCGACUCAUUAAGCUAACGGGUCAUCCGAACUCAAUCCGUUAAACUUAACAAGUCACCCGAAUCCAACUCGUUAAGCUAACGGAUCAUCUGUUUCAACCCGUUUCACCCGUUAACCACCAUUGAAUUGAAAACCAGAGAUGUCUUUUCUGGAAGUGGAGACCGCAAAGCGAUGAAUCCAAGACGAUGUGAUUGUCCUGCACAUGCCACCAUUGAAUUUGAAUCCUCUCUUCCUCCUUCUCCAUGCCUGCAAAAAUAAAUUCAGAAAUUAAAUAUAAAAAAUAAAAGCAAAAACCUGCAUCUUCCCAAAUGAAACCCGAAGUGAAAAAUCGAAAUUUUAACAGUUGAAGGAAGCUUACAAUGAGACGUUUCCAUGUAAAUUACAUAACUUUGAGUCUCAUAUCCAACUUGCACCACCACAGAUAUUCGACUUUCUUCUAGCAAAUAGAGAGAUAGACGGCGAGACUCGAGGAGACAAGAAGGUUGUGAGUCUUGCGAAUAAAGUUUCUUUUCCAGGCUGCGCAGACCACCUAGCGUCCGUCGAGCUCGCCUAGCCCGCCCAGGCGGCCGUCUUACAUCGCUUAAUGUCCUUGCCGAUUUAGUGAACGAUUUCUAGUUAAUUGUGGUGGAGCACCGCCGCCUAGCGCCUAGGCGGCCGCCUAGACCGCGUUUUAGAACACUGGGCAUAAUUGGUCGUCGAUGUCAGUCUGUUUAUUCUCCAAACCAGCAAUUUGUUUAUUCUUAAAAUGCAGACGACGCUUUUCUAUAAGGAUGAAUAGUUUGUUUAUGUAUUUUGACGAGAGUAAUGUUAAAGAAAUUAAAUUUAGAGGAAAACUUUAUAAAUUAAAUGAUGUAUCAUCAAUAAGAAUAAGUAUUUUUAUCAAUGCUUAAGUAAUAAACCAAUCAUAAAUUUCUAUGUUUUUUAAUUUCUAAAAUAUGCCUACAAAUUUAAUCUUGUUAACAUUAUUCUUUUGAUGUUGGUUUGAUUUCCACUUAUUUCUUUCUUUCAACAAUUAACAAUUUUAUCUACUUAGGCUUUGCCUAAUGUCCGCACAAUUUUACAACUUUCAACAUGCAUUUGCUUUGGGCUGGAUCAUUUUUCUUGACUAAACCAGGAUUAUAAUUCAACAUUAGCAUGAAUGAUUCACACCGUUACAUAUAUAGUCUUACACGUUAAUGCACAUCGACUUGGGCUUUUGCCUAAUGUCCACACAAUUUUGCAACUUUCAAUAUGCAUUCGCUUUGGGCUGGACCAUUUCUCUUGACCAAACCAAGAUUAUAAUUCAACAUUAACAUACAUGGUUCACACCGUUUACAUAUAUAAUUUUACGUGUUAUUCCUGUCAAUUCUGAAAAUAACUUUUUGAAUUUUUCUCAACGACAAGAUAUUUGAUAAUGUGGAUGGCAUUAAAUUAUCUCGUAAUCAAAAGAUAACGAGUCAAUGGACAAAGUUGACGAAUUGGGAGGUGGGCUCGUUUAAGAAAGAAAUCAAAAUUUAACUUUAAAAUGUCCAGUUUGUGAACAACUUGUAAUUUAUGAAAAAAAUUGUUAAAAUGAAGGAUCCUUUGAAUUAAUAUAAUAUUUUCAGUCGUCAUUUCGUUUCGAACUUUAGUUUGCAAAGUUAUAUACUUACAACAUGAUUUUUGUAAUUAUGUUUAGUCAUAAAGGGUUUGGUACACAAACAACAAAUGGUUGCCACAAUUCUAUAGAGGACACAAAUUUAGGCUAUUUUUUUCACUUCCAUAUUCAAUAUGUGCAUAAUGUUUGGUGUGAAGGACAUUUUGUACUUGUCUGUAAGGAACUAUGAAAAUGAAUAUUUCAAUUUACCAUAUACAAUUUUAAUCUCUUCCCAAGUGGUGGAUUGCCCUAGUAUAUAGGGUCUUUCUUUCAUUUCACUACAUCCCGAAUUCAAACCUCAUACUUUCUUUCAAGAGUAUUUUAGUUCUUUUUAUAGUUUACUGUAAAAAUAUCGUUUUUAUUCUUUUUUAUAGCCUUUUUCAUUUUAAAAGGUAUCUAAACACUUGAGUAACCUGCACGCGUAGAUAGGUAGAUAGAUAAGAUAACGUUACGUAUACGAAGAUACGUGCGAGAAUACACUGAUUGAAGAAAAACCUAGUUGUAUCCAAGAGACAUACAUGCAAGACUAGCUCAACUUAAACCGAAAAUAACUAGUCAAAACAUAAAACUAAGCCAGUUGGCCUCAUCACUUCUAACUAUUGGACCUACGUCUUGUAAUUGUAUGAUGCUAGUUCUUUGUGGUCAGUGGAUCACCGCGUGCCUUUUUUUGUACACUUAAGUUUUAAUCCAUAUCUAUCAAGUCAAGGAAAAUUUAGGUAUGCUAAAUCAAAGUAAAUUUAAGUAUUUUUUACCAAAAAAAAGAAAGUAUAGGUAUUUGAAUUGAAUUUCUCCAAAUCAAGUAAAUCUUAAUAAAUGCCCUUCUGUUUAGAGGAUUUCUCGCGUUGGAGCUGGAGCCCAAGUAGGAAAUUCCUGGUGCCCAAGCCUAGUUUCCACCUCUCUAACAAGCUUAAAAAUGAGUAAAUAUGAUAUAAGUACGUACUAUAUAUAUAUUAGCAUAUAUAUGAAUUUAUAAAUGUAUGGAAGAUAAAGGGGAUCCACACGGCCAACAAGGCGGCUCAGAGAUAAGAGCGCAACGCUGAUUACCGCUUCUUGCACGACUGUGUUUCGGAUAUUUUCGCCCAGUGUCUCAAGUCUGAGAUUGAAAAAUUUCAUCAUCACAAGGAUCAUGAGUCAUGACCAUGACCAUCAUGAUGAUUACUGCUUGGAGAUUACCCAAGCGGCUACCUCUUUCCCUACCACCGCUGAUCAUCAUAUGCUGUUCAAAAACAUUGCAAGGAAGGUUUUCCCGCCAGAAUCAUGCCGCCGAGAAGGGGAUGGUAGUGUUUGUUGUAUUGACCGACUGAGGAAGGAGGUUUUGUCGCCCUUGAGAAAAACUAUGGCGCCAGAGGGCUGGGAACCUGCCAACCGGUGGGGUUAUAGAGCGGAGUACAAGCGAAAGCAACUGGCUGCAGCCAAUGAAAUUGAUCCUGGCGAUGCCGCGCUGCUUCCGCAUGACAUAUUAAGCUAUCUCAAGUAUCCCGAGCUCGAGCAAGAUGCUGAUGUUAAGUGGAAGAAAAUGGUGAAGGUCUUGUAGAAAACCUUAAUGUAUAUUUCAGUGACUCAAAACAGUUUACAAGAUUAAGCAUAAAUAGAGGAAUAAUCGGGAAAGAGAGGAGAGUAGGGGACAAUGGCAGCUAAGCAAGUCAGCUAAGCAAGCAUGAGAGUAUGAUGACCUCCACACUCUCUUAACACAUGCUUUACAGCUUAUUAACAAGCUUUACACAGAAGAGGGAAUAACACAGCUCACUAAACCCUAGCUAAACACAGCUAACACAGCUUUACAGCUGUUAGGGUUUAAAGAAUUCAAUAAUAUUCAAUACUCCCCCUCAAGCUGGAUCGAGAGAUUUUCUGGAUCCAAGCUUGAAGAGAAUACGAUCAAGUUGAGAAGAAGGAAGGGGCUUGGUGAACACAUCGGCUAGUUGAUCACUGGAGCGAACAAAUGCAGUUUGUAACAGCUUGGACUGGACUUGGUUGCGGACGAAAUGACAGUCAACCUCGAUAUGCUUUGUUCGUUCAUGAAAGACGGGGUUGGCAGCAAUAUGCAUCGCUGCUUGAUUAUCACAGUGGAGGAGAAUUGGCUUGGAAGAGAUGAUGUCAAGAUCAUGCAGCAAACUCUUUAGCCAAAUUAGUUCGCAUGCAGUAGAUGCCAUUGCACGGUACUCAGCUUCUGCGCUGGACCGAGCUACAACAGAUUGCUUUUUGCUCUUCCACGUGACGAGGUUACCACCUACAAGAGUGCAGUAACCAGUUGUGGACUUGCGAUCAAGGACGUUGCCUGCCCAAUCAGAGUCUGUGUAUCCUUCAAUGGUGAAGUGUCCGUUGUUUUGCAUGAAAAUCCCGGUAGACAUUGAGCCUUUUAAGUAUCGAAGGAUCCUUUUAACAAGUUGCAAAUGAUGAGAUGUGGGAGAAUGCAUGAACUGGCUGACAAAGCUAACAGCAUAAGCAAUGUCAGGUCGAGUUAUAGUCAAAUAGAUAAGUUUUCCUACCAACCUUUGAUACUCCGAUGCAUUUUCCAAGCUGGAUGCCUGAGGUUUCAUGCUUGAAAUUUGUUGGUAGAGGUGUUUUAGCAGGUUUGCUGUGCAUCAUAUUGGCUUCUUCUAAAAGAUCGAGAACGUACUUUUGUUGAUUUAGAAACAACCCCGUUGGAGAUUGAUCCAUUUCGAUUCCGAGAAAGUAUCUAAGUCUGCCGAGAUCUUUGAUUGAGAAUGUUGAAUGUAAGGUGGCUUUGAGAGCAUUGAUUUCUUCUGGAUUAUCUCCUGUGACAAUGAGAUCAUCAACAUAAACAAGUACCACCAAUCUUCCAUGUGUGCCAAGCCUAGUGAACAUUGAAGAAUCUGCAUUGCUUCGUUUAAAACCGGAUGACAUAAGGACAGAGCUUAGUUUUGAGUACCAAGCCCUUGGAGAUUGCUUGAGACCGUAAAUGGCCUUGUGAAGCUUGCAUACUACUCCUUGUUCCUUCUCUCGUUCAUGACCAGGUGGUAGGCGCAUGUACACUUCUUCUUCCAACUCUCCAUGAAGAAAAGCGUUUUUUACAUCCAUUUGAUGUAGAGACCAUUGUGAAUUGAUAGCCACCGAAAGAAGAACUCUAACUGUGUUCAUCUUUGCCACCGGGGCAAAGGUUUCUUUGUAAUCUACCCCGUAGGUUUGCGUGAAGCCCCUUGCAACUAACCUUGCCUUGUGCCGCUGGAUGGUUCCAUCUGAGUUAAAUUUUGUCUUGUAAAUCCAUCUUGCCCCAACCACACGUUGAUCUUUUGGCAGAGAAACAAUGCUCCAAGUUUUAGUUUCUUCGAGUGCCUUCAGUUCCUCAAGCAUAGCACAUCUCCAUAUAGGAGAUUGGUUUGCCUCUUCGAAGGAUCGAGGCUCCGAGUGUUGAGAUAACUUAGUGACAAAUGCUGCAUGAGAUGGGGAGGUCUUGCUAUGGUGAACCAUUUGUCCAAUAGGAUAUCUAGGCAUGUAGAUUUCAAAAUCAUCAAGCCUGGCUGGAGGUUGUCUGUUUCGAGAAGGAUUCCUUCGUGGAUGAGUAGGUUGUUCAAGGGGCUCUCUCCUUUCGUGGAGGACUUCUUCAUUAUUUGCUUCUAUAUUUUCAUGAGCUGGCUCUAUCUCAAUUGCUUCAUUGUGCGGUGUUGACAGUCUUGGAUCAUCAAAGGACGAGAGGAGUGGGAAACACUUCAUAUGAGAGCUCCCCCUGAGGUUCAUCAUCAUGCUUCUGAAAAGAAGAAGUGUGUCUCAUCAAACCGUACAUCCCUGGAUACAAACACCUUUCUGGUUUUAGAAUCAUAGCAUUUGUAUCCCUUUUGGGAAGUUGAGUAGCCUACGAAUGCACACUUGAUAGCCCUUGGAUCAAGUUUAUCUCGGUGAAUAGUUUGAAUAUGCACAUAGCACACACAUCCAAACACACGGAGAUGACUUAUGUCAAUAUCUCUCCCCUUGAGAAUUUGACAAGGAGAUUUAAACUUCAAGAUUCUGCUAGGAAGUCGAUUUAUGAUGUAUGCAGCGGUUUGUAUAGCUUGAGACCAGAACUUCUUUGGAAGGUUUGCUUGUAACAUUAGUGAUCGUGUUUUCUCAAGCAAAUCUCGGUUCUUCCUUUCUGAAAUGCCAUUUUGUUGUGGUGUUCCUACACAAACUAGUUUGUUGCAAGAUUCCAUGCUCACUUAAGUAAGUUGUCAUGAUUUUGGAAGUAUACUCAGAGCCAUUAUCAGACCUUAAGAUGCCAAUAUUAGAGUUAAAAUGAUUUUGAACUAAGUUAUGAAAAUUUUUGAAACACUGGAAAGCUUCGUGCUUGAAUUUAAGUAAUACACAAAGGUAGUUCUAGAGAAAUCAUCAAUGAAAGAUAUAAAGAAUCUGUAGCCAUCAAAAGACUCUAAGGGUUGCAGGUCCCCAAAUGUCGGAAUGGACAAUUUCAAAAACUUUGGUAGCUCUAGAGAGAGAAUGGGGAAAGGGUAACCUGGUGGACUUAGAUUUUUGACAAACUUCACAAUCUGAAAUCUCUUUACAGAAACUAGGAAAAAUAAAAGACAUAACAUGGGAAGAAGGAUGAGCUAAUCUCAUGUGCCACAGCUGCUCCUUGUUUACUGUGUUUGAGUUUACGUAGAAACCUUUUGGAAAACUUGAAGAGAAGUUGACAUAGUACAGUCCAUUGAGGAAGAAACCUUUACCAAUCGUUUCCUUCGAAACUCGGUCCUGGAAAAUCACACAGUGAGUGGAAAAAAUUGCAAGACAAUUUAGCAAUUGUGUUAUUCUUCCUACUGACAGCAACUUGAAAGGGAAGGAAGGGACAAUGCAUGACAAGGGAUUCCUUUUUACUUGAGAAGAUUUUGAGUUUUCCUAUGCCUACUAUACUAACUUUGGUGCCAUUAGCUACGGAGACAAAAGAAGGAGUGGAGAAGUUUUGAAAAUCAUUUAGUAAAGAUGCAUCGUUAGUCAUGUGAUCAGAAGCUCCUGAGUCGACUAUCCAAAAACCACGGCUACUACUAAGAUCCAAUGCAGUGGAAAUAGUUGCAACAAUACCUGGCACAUCAUUUUGUGACACUGAGCUUGACUGUUCGAGGAAGCCAGCAAACUUGCCGAGCAUGGCUGCAGGAUUUUCAUGAUUUGUUGUCCCUUGUUUCUGUUGCAAGAAGUUAGCAAAUUCAUUUAUGAGAGUAAUGGGACUAGAAGAAGAGUUCAUCACAUUUUUUGAGACAUUGUCGCAAACAAGGUUUCCUUGAGGAGUGUAGGCAGGCUUCAUUUGGUUUCUUGGUGCUCUUCCCUCAUCAUUGAACUUGGGUUUAAGUUCUGGAUGAAGAAUCCAGCACUUUUCUUUUAUGUGUCCAAUGCCUGGACGACCUAUUUUUCACACAGUGAGAACACUUUAAGUCUGGUCGUUUUCCCUUGUAUGGUCUGAAAGAGGUGAAGGCUCUUGCUUCUGAUGGCCUAGGAUCUGAUUCUCCAACGACAACGACUGCAUUCAUGACCUUCUUCCUUAUUUCUUCGCGUUGAAUAACGUUGCAGACCAUCUGGAAGGUGGGAAGCUCAGGUGUCAUCAGGAGAUGACUUUUAAGGUCCUCAUAUUCUGGUCCGAUGCUGGCAAGCAACUGGAACACUUUGUCUUCUUCAGCACGCUUUAAAAGAAUGGUUGUGUCCGUGGUAUGAGGUCUGUAGAGAUCCAAUUCAUUCCAUUUGGCCUUCAAGUUGCCAAGAUGUUGAACAAAAGAGAGAUUUCCCUGUUGUAAUUCUGUAAGAUCUUUCUUCAGCUGGAAGACUCGCGCAGCAUUGUUUAGAUCUCCAUACAUGUCUCGUACAGAAAUCCAAAGGUGGUGAGAUGAUACUGAAUAACUGAAAAUCUCAGCCAUCUUUGGUUCCAUAGAAUUCAACAGCCAAGACAUGAUAAGUUGGUCUUGGGACACCCAUGCUGCAUAAUCUUGUGAAGUUGUUUCGGGCAUGAUAUCAUCCUUUUGAAUGAACUGGAGCUUUCCACGUCCUCCAAGAGCGAGAGAAAUAGCUCGUGACCAAGGCAGAUAGUUGAAUUCGUUUAGGAGCACUGAGCUCAAACGUUGAAUUGGGUUGGUAUCCAUAGUUUCGUUUUUUGAAACUUUCUCUGAUGAUGUUGCCAUAAUGGCUUUAACUGGUUUGAAUUUGGUAGGAUUUCGGAAGAACACAGAAGCAGGUCCAAGAGGGAUCACUGCUCUGAUACCAUGUAGAAAACCUUAAUGUAUAUUUCAGUGACUCAAAACAGUUUACAAGAUUAAGCAUAAAUAGAGGAAUAAUCGGGAAAGAGAGGAGAGUAGGGGACAAUGGCAGCUAAGCAAGUCAGCUAAGCAAGCAUGAGAGUAUGAUGACCUCCACACUCUCUUAACACAUGCUUUACAGCUUAUUAACAAGCUUUACACAGAAGAGGGAAUAACACAGCUCACUAAACCCUAGCUAAACACAGCUAACACAGCUUUACAGCUGUUAGGGUUUAAAGAAUUCAAUAAUAUUCAAUAGGUCUACUUAAAGCAGGGGAAGCUGAAGAAUUGGCUGUGUGUGAUGUCGACAACUCCUUGUCGGCGGGUUUGGCGGUUUUUUCUGCAGGUGCAGCUUUCUUGGCUUUUCUGGCUCGUUUUCUACUCUUUCCCUGCCAAAUUUAUCCAUUGUACGUAGAAAAUUAGAAAUCGAUAAGUAAGGCUCAAUGCUGGCAGUAAAACAAAGACAGAAAAACAAAAGGGAAAAACUAAAAAAUAAAUCACAUGCAGAUAAGAUUUAAAAAUAUUAAAAAAGUUAACCAUCACCCAAUACUAAUUUGUAAGCAGGUGAGACUCCAAUAACAGUUGAGAAUUUAGGCACAAACGACGAAGAAUGCAGAAUAAGCUGAAUGAAUCUUCCAAGCAUACACUUUAGAGAACAAUGCACACAUGACAGUCUAGAAAAAUGCAAAGAUAAACUCAAAUGUAGUAAAUAUUGGGAUAAACCACAUAGCUAAGCUAGCCAUAUCCCAUAAUAUAAUGAAUAAAUUCAAGGUUUUGGUUAGAAGGUCCUACUUUGAAAGGAAUGAUUUUACUGCAACGAAAUGCAUAAAAGGUGAAAGCAAGACACCAGUUCCAAGACAUGUCCUCUAUCAUAACUGAAUUGCCUAUUUAGUGGGGCUUAAGGACUCAGAAUUUGUUGUUUUAUGUGCCUAGGAUCUGAAAAGAAGUAUUCUUCGUAGAAUAGCCAUAGUUUCAAAGACUAGGACUAAAAACAAGUUAAUUGUCUGGAAGACAAAGGGUUUGUUGCAAAUUUCAGUUAUAAACUUGCAUAGGCAUUACCUGAUCGUAGUCCUUGUUAAGUACUUCCCAAAUGAAUCUUUUAAACCGCACCACCUCCUUGCUGUUAAGGUACCCAGCAACCUAAAAAACAGAAGCAUGAGUUCUUCCAUAUCGAAAUUCACAAACGAAAAAUAGAAGCAACAAUCACAUGGGAAUCCAAAUCGCUAUACGGACUACCGAGCAGGGCCGGCCCAGGCCCAGUGCAGGAGGGGCAACCGUCCAGGGCCCAAAAAAAUUAGGGGCACCAAAAUUAUUAGGGCGGUGUAUUUACAUAUGUUUUUAUAAGAGUAUAAAUUUAUAAAAUUUGAUUCAAAGACACAUAAAUUUAACUAGAAGUGGUGGUUUGUCAUUUGAAAAUAAUAAGGAGGUCUUGGGUUCAAAACACCAUGUGUGCUUAUUUACUUUCCUUUUUUUACAAAUUUUUUUUAUAAGAGUAUAAAUUUAGAAAAUUUGGUUAAAGGAUCAAAAAGUUUAAUUAGAAACAAUGAUUUUUGUUGUUUAAAAUUAACAAGUGGUCCUAAGUUCGAAAUGCUAUGUGCAUGUUUAUUCUUUUCAAUUUUUACAAAAUUUUGUUUGGUUGGUAAUUUAUUUUUAGUUACUAUCUAGUAGCUAUGUGGGUUGUUAUUUUUAAAUAUUCGUUUUAAUUCAAGUCUAAUCUUCAACAAAGAAUAAUACGUAGACCAAAUUUGCAAAUUAUAUGACGUGUCAUCAAAAUGUUUAAUUUAGUACCCAUUCAUUAAUAAUACAUAUUAAUUAAAGAUUCGAAAACAUCAUUAUUUUUUAGUCCAGUAUUGACAAGUUUAGUAAAUAAGAAAAAAACACCUCACGAUUUAUUCAAAAACACAUUCAAAGUUCAAAUGGAAAACAAAACUCAUCAUCUAUUUACUUGUAAGCCCGCAGUUUUUUUGUUUCCCUCUCUCAAUACAAAAUAAAUUAGUCUUUCUGUGUUUCUAAAUUAUUGAGUUUGAAGUGUUUUUCUAAGUAUAAUUUUUUCGAUGUCUUAUGUGUGAAAAUAAAUAAUUUCUUACAUGAAAUUAGGGCAUUUUUUUUUACGUCGCCCCGGGCCUCAAAAAUCUCUGGACCGGCCCUGCUACCGAGUGGGCUAUGAUGGAAGUGUUCUCUGAUGGGCAGGUGGGUGUAACCUUCAGGAUCUCUGCUUAGGUGUUUGAUUAAAUUUAUCCCCUUAAUUAUCAGACAUGGAAAAUGUGGUCGAUUGUCAUGAACCAAGAACUGAACUUUUCACAAUAACUAUGAAAUAAAAUUCCAACAACGUCGCAUGCAAACUAAAAAUUGUUAUUAUCAUCGAAAUAUUUGAGCACCUACCUUAAAUUCAUCAACUUAUGGAGAAUGGGCGGGCAGACACCAUUCGACGAAAACAAUUCAGAAAAUUGAAAAAAAUAAUAAGAAGCAAUGCCUGCUUUAUCUGCAUACCUCGGAGUCGUCGAUAUCUGAGAGGCUUUCUGAGACAUCGCCAUCCGCAGUUGACAUUGCAGCUUGCCGCCUUCUUUUGUAAACUCUCGGUUCUUUUGAAUUUUAUGUAAUUUUAGGUAUUCAGCUUUCGUGGAACUAGAAUUUAAAUCGACAGGAAUGUCGGCGAACAAACAAGAACCGACCUAGUUCAGUUUCCCUUUUAGAAUUGGAAUGGUGGAACCCAACCAUGCUGUUCUCUUUGUUCAAAUCAAAUUAAAUCAGACCAGUUUUGGUUCUUUGAAUCAAGCAAUAGAGUUAGUAAGUGUAAGUUAGAUGUUAGACAUUAGAUUUGAUUCUAGUUUCAAUUUUUUUUUUUAAUGAAAAAAAAGGUAAUAACAGACUAACAGUCCAAAAUCAACAGGGCUAGCCCCAAAAUAGUAGGAAAAAUUAAUCAAGAAACCAGAAAUACUCAGCCCAAUCUAAAAAUCAUGUGGUUCUUUUUUGGUAAACAAAACCGUGUGGUAAACACAAACGGCAUGAAUUACAUCUUACAUUGUAGAAACACAUUACUAUUCCUACUGUUGGGACCAAAUUCGCGCACAAUCGUUGAUAUACAAAUAAUCGUUGGAAUAUCUUGAACACCGAUAAAUAGGAGAAUUGUUUGGGGGAUGUAACUAAAUUAAAAAAUGAUUGCCUACAUAUCUCCUUGUCAAAGAGGGAGAAUCAAAUUGCGUGUAAUUCCAUGCAUGAGUUGGAUGAGCAUGUAGAGAUGUGUUUGAGCAUGUAUGCAUUAGAUGAGAUAUCAGAUAUGCGUUAUAUCUCCUUGGAAGGAACCCUAGCUUGGAUAUUUAUAGAUGAGAUCUUUCAACUCUUUGUCAAAUGCUUAUGCAUAUAUAAAGCAACAUAUCAAAGCCAAUAUUCUCAUGCUAUAAUCAUGCAAAUGUAAAGUGUAAAACAAUAAUUUAUUCAGCAAUCCAAACACAUAAAGCGUCAGUCACGUUAAAUAAAAUGAUAACAGCAAGAAUUAAAGCUAAGUAGGUAAAAGAUUAUCCUAGCAUUUUGUUGUCCUCAAACUUCCAUUAUUUCAAAACCCCUUUACCCACACCAACCCACAUUUUUUUUCUCAUUAACCGACUCCCUCUCACCACUUUCUUUUCAACUCUCUCCCAACCUUCCAAAACCUCUUUAUUUUCCUUCUUUUCUUCCAGUUCUUUCCCUUCCGGUAGGGGCUAUUCUCACACCUUCACUUCCCACAAACAUCCCCUUCUUGUUGGAAUCCAGCAAUAUAACUAAGUCUAACAGGAUUUGAGAGAAAGAUUGUAAGAUUUAGAAGAUGAAAUCAGAGAGAGAGAGCACACACAGAGCAUAGCCUUUCAACUUCUAUCAUUGUAUUGCAUUAUGGGCAUAACAACCCGAAGAGACAUAUAUCUGACGACAAAGAUGAGUGAGAGAGAAUCAUAACCUCAAUUCAAUCUCAACCAACCAUUACAACCUAUCUUAAGAUCAAGACACUUGUCAAAUGAUAAGCCCUAUGAGACUUAAUCAACACAUCACAAUUUUACACAAUAGCUCAGCCUAUGAGCUGAGACAUGACACACAUAACAAUCUUGUAAUGUUUACUAAUCAGUACAACAUACAUACUAACACUCUCCUUUAAGUUGUGAACUGAUUUCACUCCAAGUAGAUUUCUCAAGUAAGUGAACUGCUCCCUUGCCAAUGCUUUUGUAAAGAUAUCUGCCAGUUGCUCCUUUGUAGGACAGUGAAUCAAAUCAAUUACUCCUUGCUGUAAUGCUUCCUUUAUGAAGUGAUAUCUUCGGUUUAUAUGCUUGGUCUUCUGAUGAAAGAUGGGAUUCUUGGUGAUGGCUAUGGCAGAUGUAUUGUCACAAUUCAUUGGUGUUGCAACCGUUUGCAUUUCACCAAAAUCCUCUAGGACAAAUCUCAACCAAGUAGCCUGUGCUGUUGCUUCAGAAGCACUAAUAUACUCUGCUUCGGCUGUGGAUAAUGCAACACAUUGUUGCUUGACUGAAGACCAAGAGAAAAUCCCAUUUCCAAAAGUAAAAGCAUACCCGGAUGUGCUUUUCAUGUCAUCCUCUGAACCACUCCAGUCACUAUCACAGUAUCCCAUUAAGAGUGUUCCUUCACCUUUCUUGUAUUCCAAACCAAAAUCAAGGGUUCCUUGAACAUAUCUCAAUACUCUCUUUGCUGUUCCAUAGUGCUUGUUAGUUGGACAAUGCAUAAACCGAGCUAAGAGACAAGCAGCAUACAUUAUAUCAGGUCUAGUUGCUGUGAGAUACAACAGACUACCUACAAUCUGUCUAUACUGAGCUUCAUCUGCAUUUCCACUUCCAUCUUCUCUUCUCAGUUUGUCACUUGGAACCAAAGGAGUACUCACUGAUUUGCAAUUCUGUAGUCCGAACUUCUUCAGAAGAGAUAAGGCAUAAUUUCUCUGAUGAAUGAAGAUACACUCCUCAGUUUGGAUUACCCCCAUACCAAGGAAAUGGUGUAAGAGACCAAGAUCAGUCAUCUCAUACUUAGACAUCAUCUCAGCUUUGAAAACAUCCAUUAACUCUUGACAAUUUCCAGUAUAUAUAAUAUCAUCAACAUAGAUGGAUACUAUGAUCAAUUCUGUGUCUCCCUUGUAUUUGGUGUACAGAGUUGCCUCACUGAUACUUUUCUUAAAUCCACAAAGCAUAAGAUAUGAGUCUAUUUCACCAUACCAGGCCCUAGGUGCCUGUUUUAGACCAUACAAAGCUUUAUGUAAUCUGUAAACCUUUUCUUCCUCUCCUUGCACUACAAACCCAUCUGGCUGUUCAACAUAUACUUCCUCUUCUAAUACUCCAUUCAGAAAAGCUGAUUUCACAUCUAGUUGAAAUAACUUCCAUUUAUUCUUUGCUGCCAGUGCAAUUAGAGUUCUAACUGUGUUUAAUCUUGCAACAGGUGCAAAAGUCUCAUUAAAAUCAAUUCCAGGCUUUUGUGCAUAGCCUUUUGCAACAAGUCUAGCCUUGUUCUUUUGAACUGUUCCAUCCAAAUUCAGCUUUGUUUUAUACACCCAUUUCACUCCAAUCACAUGCUUAUUUGAGGGUCUUCUCACCAACUCCCAUGUCUGAUUUUUUUCAAUCAUAUUCAUUUCAUCCUUCAUUGCCUUUUUCCAAGCUUCAUCAUGUGCAACUUCAUCAAAGGAUUCAGGUUCAACAAUACAUAAGUGACAUCUCUCAUAGAUCUCACUCAAAUUCCUAUACCUCAGUGGAGUAUCAUCAUACUGAGCAGAGACCCGUGAACUACUUGAUUCACCAAUAGCAGUAACUGUAGAACUUCCAGCUUGAAUUUGAGACCCAUCAGAUCCUUCUUGUUCAUGAGAUUCAGACAUCUCAUCAAUUUUAUCCACCUCUGAAGACUCAAUUGCAGAUAAAGGAAUACAGACUUCCUUGACUUUGUGUUUCUCCCAAUCCCAUCUACCAUGUUCAUCAAAAAUUACAUCUCUAGACAACAAGACCUUUUGAGUUAAGGGAUUCAGUACUCUAUACCCCUUUUCACAGGUUCCAUAUCCAAUGAAAACACCCAUGACACUUGUUUCUUCUAAUUUGUGUCUUAGAUUCCCUGGAAUAAGAGAAUAGCAAACUGAACCAAACACCUUCAAAUAUUUAAACCCCUUUGGUUUUCUUCACCCCACCGAUGUGGGACAAUUUUAACACUCCCCCUCACGUGUAACCUCAUUUAGUGGUUCACACGUGGAGAUCCACAUCGGUAAUUGAAACUCAGAGGUCGGCUCACGUUGGGCCCACUUGUUUUCAAUGGAACUCAGCGGUCAUCUCUAUAUUAAGAGCUCAGACUUGUUUCCUUCCGGGUGGUGACAAGCUCAUUGGCUUGCACACACAAGCUCGUUGGCUUGCACGGGCCCGCAACCGUGGGCUCUGAUACCAUGUUGGAAUCCAGCAAUACAACUAAUAUAACUAAGUCUAACAGGAUUUGAGAGAAAGAUUGUAAGAUUUAGAAGAUGAAAUCAGAGAGAGAGAGCACACACAGAGCAUAGCCUUUCAACUUCUAUCAUUGUAUUGCAUUAUGGGCAUAACAACCCGAAGAGACAUAUAUCUGACGACAAAGAUGAGUGAGAGAGAAUCAUAACCUCAAUUCAAUCUCAACCAACCAUUACAACCUAUCUUAAGAUCAAGACACUUGUCAAAUGAUAAGCCCUAUGAGACUUAAUCAACACAUCACAAUUUUACACAAUAGCUCAGCCUAUGAGCUGAGACAUGACACACAUAACAAUCUUGUAAUGUUUACUAAUCAGUACAACAACUUACAUACUAACACUUCUUCCCACAAACUCCUCUCUCUCUCUCUCUCUCUCUCUCAGUUGUUUUCAUUUUUAUUCACUUGUUGCUCUCACUCUUUUUUUUUCUUUUCCUUGCCUCUCACAACUCCCUCGACACCUCUCUUUCUCUUUCCUUCUUUUAUGCUUUUCUUCCACCCUUUAAUAUAGCUGAAAAUUUGCAUAUGUAACAAGAGUAGAAUUGGUGAGCAACAUAAAAUGGAGAUGUAGGCUAAAGAGGCUAGCUGAGAAGGCCUGCUCAACCGUACAUAAGCUGCUCAAACUGAUGUAUAGGCCAACAUACAGAUUAGGUUGUCGAGCUUUUUGGAUAUUAUAGAAGAGAUGAUAAGGAACAAUUUUUGUGAAGGAAAUGUUUUUGUUUGAUCACAGUAAGUUGGAUUUUUAAGCUCCAAACAUGACUAUAAGGUUUUCUGCGGAUUUUUAAGGCUGUAAUAGCAUUUUGAUUAUCUGGAAUGAAUGGACAGUUAGAUCGUUCUGAGACUUUGAUAUGUUAAGGUAGAGAGAAUAAGGAACAAUUUCUAUGAAGAAAGUAUUUUGAUAUGAGUAAGAGAAAAUGUAGUUUCGAAUCUCAUAUUUGGAUAUGUUGUAUUUAACGAGUUAACGAACAACUUUCUUAAAGAAGGCUUUUUAAUUUGAACUAAAGAAAAUGGUAAUUUGAUCUGCAAAACAGAUAUGACGAAUUUCUGGUUCUUGAAAUUCUUUCUCUUGAUAAGUAGAAGAAAAUGAUGAUGAGUUUGGUGUAGAGAUUUGUUGGGUAAGCUCUUAUGCAUUUUUUGGGAUUUGUAUGUGAUUUCUUUCUCCGGAUUCUCAUUGAAAAAUAGAGGGAGAUUUGGUGGUGCUUCAUGGAGUUGCAUAAUGGUGUUUCACUAGAACUUGAUAACACACACAUUCACAUAAACACACAGUAUAGGAGUCGUUCGUCAAAGUGACUACAUCCACUGGGGUUUGCUUUCAUUUGUAUUUCACUAGAUAUGAGAGACUUACAAAUACAAUGAAAGAUGACUUAAAGCAUUUACAGAAGGUAAAAGAAAUGGAUGAUGAAAGAGGAAUGGUCUGAGAAAGAGAACAUUCCUUUUGCUAGUGUGUUCUUGUUGGUGUGGUGUUCUCCCUUUUUUUCCUCGUGUCCUUCUAGUUCUUGCUCCUUCCUUUAUAGGGAUCAUAUGAGUUCUUCCUUCUCACAACAUGUGCAAUCUAACUUGAGGAUAAAAGCUCCCUAGUGUCCCAAUAGAAAGACACCAAGUAUUGUGCAAAUUAUUAGCCAUAAUAUGUGUUCGAAUAGCAAGACAACAUGUGUUAAACUAAUCAUUAAUAAUGAUAUGUGUUCCAAUAACAAAGCAACAUGUGUUGAGCUAAUCCUGAACAAAAAAUAUCAUGUAAGAUGGAUGCAUGUCUGGAUGCAUGUCUAAGGCCACGUUAAAGUUUAUCUUAUGGUAAGCUGGUUGGAACAAAACAUAUGGUAACUCUACAAAUUGGUAGGAUAUCCGGAUGGUGAAUUAAAAGCUCCAAAACCCAUGGUUAUAAUCACACCUCAAACUAAAACCAAAAGAGUAGCACACUAUUUAGUUGCUAGUGGCACGCAAAUGAGAAAUACAAAGCCUAACAAAUCAAUCUACAAAUAAAGUGAAACAUAUAUGUAUUUGUUAACUAAUGAAAAAAAGAACUUGGUAUAUCAAACUUUAGCAUAAUACACAAAUUAAAAGUACUUCGACACUUAUAUAUAUACCCACUUUUUAAAUUACGGAGUAUUACACUUGCAAAUGCCUCUUGUAUAAAGUUGUUUUAGUCCUUUCACUAUCAACCUUAACAUACACGACAUUGUUCACCUUUUAACUCCAAGCAUGAACUUUCCCCUCCUAAAAACUUAGGCUCCAAAUCAUUUCAAUUGUUGCCUAAUUUUUUUGGGAGGAAAGCCCAUAUUUGAAUCCAAAAGUAGAAAAUGUUAUGGUUGCUAGACCUGAAUAGUUAACACUCUAUAACAAAUAUACUUAUAAUUUUGAGUUUGUUUUUGUAUUGCAUGUGGUUUAAUAUUCUAGUGAAUAGAUUAUUGAGUUUCCACACAGAUGUCCUGGUUCGGAAUUCUCCCCUCAUAAAUUAUUAAAAAAAUAGGUAACAAAUUGAAAUUUAAAUAAAAGUUAAGGUGACAAAUAAAAAAUUUGCCUUUUCUUCCCUAGUCUGCAACUGGACCAUCAACAUCAAGGCUCAAAUCAUAGACCCAAAAAUGCCUUAUUAAAUUAUAUGAAUUCCUGAACAUAUUCUUAAAUUUUAGUGGUGGGAUCUCCAUCCAAUGGUGGUGGUUCAUGAACAUAUCUAUAAACAUUUUGUAUGAAUAAGUAGAAUAUACAUCCAUUUGCUAAGAUAUAUUCAAAUCUGGCAAGCCAGUCCCCUGCCCACUACCAAAAGCCAAAGCUAAAAUACAAUUACAAUUAAUUAUUAAAAUGUGUAUUAUAUAAAAGGAAAGGGUGCACAAAGGGAUAAAAGGAGCAUGUAGACCUGAUAUUUAUCACCUUCCUUCUCUUCUAAUGCCAGCGAGCAGUGAUUGAGUGACGUUUACAGGAGAAGGCGCAGGGUCAAUCCAGGGAGUGUCAGCACCACUUGCAUUGCUGCCUCCCGGCUGAUAGUUGAGGCGAACAUUACUAUCCUUGGAUGCAGUUGAUGAGGUAUCAUCCUCCACCAAAAAUCUACCUGUUGAAAAUGUUGUUACAUCUUUAAAAUUAUAAUCUGUCAAAUAGCUUGGUUUCGACAUGACAGUGCCUGUGUCAAUGUCUCCAGAGAGCAUUGCAACCACGCGUGACAUAGAUGGCCU
RNAcentral lists this long non-coding RNA (83377 nucleotides) under Malus domestica (apple). RNAcentral's name for it is "long non-coding RNA (MDOM_LNC005285)". Lineage: Eukaryota; Viridiplantae; Streptophyta; Magnoliopsida; Rosales; Rosaceae. The record is from RNAcentral.